RNAcentral lists this long non-coding RNA (50646 nucleotides) under Citrus sinensis (sweet orange). RNAcentral's name for it is "long non-coding RNA (CSIN_LNC004270)". The stretch from base 37154 to 37253 matches the Rfam family "Plant small nucleolar RNA R71". The record is from RNAcentral. Lineage: Eukaryota; Viridiplantae; Streptophyta; Magnoliopsida; Sapindales; Rutaceae.
UAAUCGGGCGGCAGAAAGCGCUCCCAAACGGCGUCGGAUUCGGCCGCCGACUUGAAGACGGUUGAAACUGAAGACAAUCUGCAUGCGUCACGAGGUGUAGUCAAGGAAAUUACGUUGGCUAUGCAACCUUCGGGUAAAAGCCCCAUUUCUGCUUCCAUGGAAAUUAGAAAGAGGGAAAGGAGAGAGAUAAUAAGCAAAUGAAUCCCGUCGUUUUGAUUCUUAUGGUUUUUUAUUUGGGCCUUUUAUAGAGAGGUGGCCGAUGAGAGAUUCAAGGAAAUCUUAGCGGUUAAGUUUUGGUUCAUAAUCAUGAUCCACACUGGCCAGCCAUACGAAGCCUUAUCGAACCGAACCGAAUCCCCUUUUCUUUUUCUACUUUUUUUUUUUACUUUAAAAAGCAUAUUUAAUUAAAAAAAAAGACAACUCUUGUUUAUGGGAUGAUAAGAAUUUCCUUUUCUGUCAACCAGGUCCCUGGCUAGUGUUAUUACCAAAACACCCCUAGGUUUAUUUUGCUGCGCAAUCGGCAACAACGAACAAUAAUGAACUUCAACCAUAAAAAGAAAUAUGCAUACUAGAAGAGGGGUACAAUAUCCUCCAAACUUAUUCUCUUACUUUCUUUUCUCACUCAAGCUAUUUAUUUGUUAUUGUCCUACUCUCGAUCUCUAACUUAAGCAUUAGAGGGUCUACACUAGUAGCAUGCUUAGCAACUCCUAAUGGAUUAUUGUGUUGCAAGAUUCUGACUAUCGAUCUAUUUAUUUCGAGGAGAUCAAACUUUCUGACAAUCCGUUCCACAAGUAAACAAACUCUUUCUCAACUCUUAUUGUUGAUCCAAACUUUGGUAUCAACAAAUAUAAGUAUAUUUCCAACAAACUAAGGUGGUAAAAUCUAUUGUGUUUAAAAUAAGGUUUCAGGUUCAAAUUCUCCUGAAUUAGGUUGCCUUUAGGCUAAAUAAGGGGGAAAAUGUAAAGCAAUACAUUACAACUAAAAAAAGAAAGAAAAGAAAAGGCAAUACAAUAUAAUUGAAGGGUUCGCUACUUUAGUUCAAGGGUAAAUUUCAAAAUCUCCAACAUGAAAUGAUAAUAUUCAACUUAAACCCACUUUUAUUCAAAAGAUAAGACAAAAGUGGGAAUGAAUUGAUGAAUUUUUUUUUCAUCUUCUUUACUAAAAUAGAGGUAAGUUGAGGUUUACAAUAGUUUGAUGGUAUUUUGAAUAUCAUCAUUCCAUGAGGAGAGUAAUCUGAAAUUAACUCUUAGUUAGAUAGCCUAAACCAUAAUUAAACACCUUAGAUUCGUCUAUAUUAUGAUGCGUUUACUUCUCCAAAAUUACAAUAGAUAUGAAUUAGAAUAUGUUAGAACCGGAAUGAGAAAUUAAAAUUAGAAUAAGUUGUCUAGUUGCGCUGUAAAAAUUAAAAUUCGAAUGAGAUAUAUUAUUCUUUAUAUGUUUACUUUAUUUUGCAUUUCUAUUUAUAGAUUACUAGUAGUGUCGUUAGGUACACCAAAUUUAAAACCUUAUUAAUGAUGUACACAAAUAGUACAGAGCGAGUAAAAAUCAAUCUCACGAAGACUAUACCAGUUGUAUUUAUUAUCAACUCUAAAACAAAGACUUAAAAUAAAAUAAUAAUAGUAGUAGUAGUAGUAGUAAUAUAAAUUAAUCUAACUAAAGAAAAAACCAACUAUAAGUAAAAAUGUGGAGUUUUAUGAAUUUUUAACUAAAUAGUAAGAAAUAAACAAAGUAAAAUUACGAAAAUAAUAAUUUAAUAAAAACACUAAUUAAAAGAUAAAUAAAUAAUAAAGAUGGCAAGUUUGGUCAAAGGAUCAUUUAUCACCACCAAACAAGCACAUAAUCAAUAUAUCAAUUCUAUCGUUAAUUUUUAUUGAAACUAUCAACCAUAGACAAUAAUAAGCUCUGUUAAUGUCUAUUUUUCCAUAAUGCGUCGUUAGACAAAAUAAGUUCUUCACUUAAGCUCUAACCAUUAAAUAAUUUAAAACAAGCUUUUUAAUUUUAAGAUAAUGGAAGCAAUAAAUAGAGAAAGACAUUAGGUUAAUCUAGGCAAUAAACACACAAACUCGGAUUAUUUAACCUAGAUUAUGUUCUUCAAUUGAAAUAACUUAUUCUAAUUUGCUACUAAUAAUUAAAAUAUCAAGAUAAUUACAGAUCAAGUAUUUUUAUCUAGCAAUAGAAUUUCUUCAAAUCCUAUCUAAUUGGCCACUCAAAUAAUAUAAGAACAAAAUCAUAAAUAUUAAUUAUAGAAUAAUAUAAACAAUCUCAAUUAAAUAAAUUGAAUGCUAGAAAUUGAAUAUUAAUUAUAUAUUAUGUUUGGAGUUUUGAAUUCACCAUCAAGCAAAUAAAAAAUCUAACCUAACAUAAUUGAGUUAGAAAUAAGAGAAUUGAUAAAACUAAUCAUGAAGAUUAAUUCAAAAGGCAGUUGCUCCAAUUUAAUUCCUUCGGGCUUCUUCCUUUUUUUUUUCUUCUUGCGGCUGCCUCUCUCUUUCGGGUUUUUGUGUAUGCGCGGCCCCUUUCCACGACGCUUUCCAAUUCUAAAGCCAAAAGGCUUGUUCUUUUGUAUCUGUUUUGAUCAGUCUUGCACGUUCUCUCCACUUAGGAUCACAUUAGGAUUUCCAUUCCUUUUUUUUUUUUUAAAUUGCAAUACACAUGCAAUUCCCAAGGUAAAUUAUUUAUUUUUCAAUAAUGCAUGUCCAUGUGAAACUUGAGGAAAUUGUCUUCUGAUUUUGGUCUUCAAAUUCUUGUUGGCCAUAGGUUCUUGAUUUUAUUUUCCCUUAUCUUGUAAUUAAUUUCUAAUUUAAUUUUGAUAGCUUCCCAAAUUGAAUUGUUUUAUAUUUUUUAAUCCAUAAUCUCUAAUUAAUUUCCUAUCUAAUAAUGUAAUUGAAAACAAAAAUUAAGAGUAACUAGUAAACAUUAAAUUCAGGAUAAAUUCUACUAUAAUAAAAUAUAAAAAUUAAGACAAAAAUUAACAUAAUAAAAUAUAAUUCAACGAAAUAACUAAACUAAAAAUUAACUAAAAUAAUUAUAAUAAUUAAGACCAAAAUAAGAAAAAGAUAGAGAAAUUAAUAGUAAAAUAUAGAGAAAAUAUGCACUUAUCAAUUACCAAGUUACUAAAAUGCUCUCAAUUAUGUAUUUGCUCAUUAACAAAUAAAGAGUAAAUGUUUUACUAUAAGUAUUAUAUGACCCAGAACCCGCGAGUGAAUAGCGAGUCAUUCAUAUUCUUGCAGUAAAGGUACGACCAACCCAUUAUAACUGCUGUACGGCCAAGGCGGAUGUACGGUACAGCAGAGUUUACUAUUAUUAUUAUUAUUAUUACUACUAUUAGUAAAAUUAUUAUUAAUAAUCAAUUUAUUAUUAUUACUGUUAUUUUAGUUCUUAGUCUAUUUCAUAAAAAUCAAAAUAGUUAUUGUUAUUAUUUAAUAUUUAAAUGCAGAAAAAAGAAUUUUUUACUUUGUUUAAGGAUAAAAAUGUCAAUUCACUUUCUAUUUCCAUUCAUCUAUUUUUCUUCCCAUCCCCCCGUAAGAACGAGAAUCAUUUUCAUUCUCUAAUUUUAAGAAGUCAAAUACGAUAAGUCUUCAAGUUUAUCGUUGUUUAUUUUUUCAAACCUAAAUAUAUAUUUAAUUAGAUAACUAUGUAUUAGCUGGACAAUAAUUAUUUUAAGUUGAGGGAAUCUCACCCAUCUUUAGUUCGAAUAACACAGUAAAAAUAAACUAUUGGGUUGCGUUCUUAUGUACAAAUGGUUAACACAACACAAUACCAAUAGGAAGCAAAAUUGUUUUAACACAGACGAAUAAAAUAAUAUACCGCUUAACCCUAAAAUGCAUUUGAAUCAUUUCCCUAGACUUUAUAUCGAAUAUUUUAUGCGGAUGUAAAAUUUAGGUGCAUACUUGGAAAAUCAUACGAGUUUUGGGNNNNNNNNNNNNNNNNNNNNNNNNNNNNNNNNNNNNNNNNNNNNNNNNNNNNNNNNNNNNNNNNNNNNNNNNNNNNNNNNNNNNNNNNNNNNNNNNNNNNNNNNNNNNNNNNNNNNNNNNNNNNNNNNNNNNNNNNNNNNNNNNNNUUUGUUGUUUAAUGUUUCAUGUAAUAAUUUUUCAAAUACCUCAAAAAUUUUCUUUCUUGCCCCUGUUUCAUGUUUACGUUCUACGUUUCAUGUUUGUUGUUAUAUGUUUCAUGUUUGAUGUUGUAAGUUUACUGUUACAGAUGUAGUCAUAUUUUAUGUUCGUGGUUGCAAAAUUUAAGUAAAAUGUUUCAUGUUUGUUGUUUAAUGUUUCAUGUAAUAAUUUUUCAAAUACCUCAAAAAUUUUCUUUCUUGCCCCUGUUUCAUGUUUACGUUCUACGUUUCAUGUUUGUUGUUAUAUGUUUCAUGUUUGAUGUUGUAAGUUUACUGUUACAGAUGUAGUCAUAUUUUAUGUUCGUGGUUGCAAAAUUUAAGUAAAAUGUUUCAUGUUUGUUGUUUAAUGUUUCAUGUAAUAAUUUUUCAAAUACCUCAAAAAUUUUCUUUCUUGCCCCUGUUUCAUGUUUACGUUCUACGUUUCAUGUUUGUUGUUAUAUGUUUCAUGUUUGAUGUUGUAAGUUUACUGUUACAGACAUAGUCAUAUUUUAUGUUCGCGGUUGCAAAAUUUAAGUAAGAUGUUUCAUAUUUGUUGUUUAAUGUUUCAUGUAAUAAUUUUUCAAAUACCUCAAAAAUUUUCUUUCUUGCCCCCGUUUCAUGUUUACGUUCUACGUUUCAUGUUUGUUGUUCAACGUUUCAUGUUUGAUGUUGUAAGUUUACUGUUACAGACAUAGUCAUAUUUUAUGUUCGCGGUUGCAAAAUUUAAGUAAGAUGUUUCAUAUUUGUUGUUUAAUGUUUCAUGUAAUAAUUUUUCAAAUACCUCAAAAAUUUUCUUUCUUGCCCCUGUUUCAUGUUUACGUUCUACGUUUCAUGUUUGUUGUUAUAUGUUUCAUGUUUGAUGUUGUAAGUUUACUGUUACAGAUGUAGUCAUAUUUUAUGUUCGUGGUUGCAAAAUUUAAGUAAAAUGUUUCAUGUUUGUUGUUUAAUGUUUCAUGUAAUAAUUUUUCAAAUACCCCAAAUUUUUUCUUUUUUGCCCCCAUUUCAUGUUUACAUUCCACGUUUCAUUGUAAUUUUAUGAUUUUAUAUUUCAUGCAUUAAAUGGCUUAUUGAAAGGUUUUAAAUCUCAAAAUGAUUUAAAAUUAAUCAAUUUUAAAAGGCCAAAAAUAAAAUGGUGUGUGUAAUACAAGUAUAAGAGCUUGCCCAAUUAGAGACAAAAAGAUUUCCAAGUCUAAACCGAUAUACCACUUCUUCUCAUCCGGAAAACCGUUUUUCUUAUUGAUUUCUCUCGGGACAAAUUCCGGAUAACCGGAUUGUCCAAAUCGAUGAGCCGCAUUUUCUUUGGAUGCUCUCAGGUCAAUAGUCGAAUAACCGGAUUAUCAAUCCGGAAAACCGGAUUCGCGUAUGGCCUUCACUGGAUUUAAUCGGAUAGCCGGUUCUGUAAAUCUGAAAAUCUGGAUUCGAGCUGCACUUUGGCAGCAUUCUGGAUUCAUUCGGCCAACCGGUUAAGGAAACCGGUAAGCCGGUUUUAACGUGCUAUCUUCUGGAUCCAACCGGCAAGCCGGUUUGUGAUAUUUGGAAAACCAGAUUCGAGUGAAGGACUUGCUGGAACAUAACCGGAUUUCCAGUUCAAGUAAAACCAGCAAGCCGUUUACGACUUGUAAGCUUCUGGUCACAACCGACUAACCGGUUAGUGAAAUCCGGCAAGCCGGUUUCGGGACCUAUUUCUACUAUUCAUCUUCUUCCUCUCAUUCGGCAUUCCGGAUCUCCCUCUCUCUCUAAAAACCGUUUGCUCCUCACUCAAUCUCACUCCAAAAUCCAUCAUUUUCUUCCUUUUUGGCAUCAAAUUGAGUCUAAAAAAUCAUUCCCCAUCACUUCAUUUACUCAAAAUCAUCCGUAAAAUCUAUUUUUAACAUCCAAAACUCUAGAUCUCAAAUUCAUCCUAGGGUUUAACCGAACUUUUCUCUCUCCAUUUUUAGCGGGAGCGGGAGCGGGAACAUGAGCGUGAGCAGGAGCGCGAGAGUGAGCAAGAGCGAGAGCGAGGAAGAAUGUGGGGAUGGAGAGGGAAAAAGAUGAGGAUUUUCUGGUUCAAUGUUCCCGGGGAGGGAAGAACAAGGGGGUGGGGGAGAAAGAGAGGGAGAUGAAAAUGCUUUUCUUCCGGUUGCCCUUCUUUUUUUGCUUUUAUUCACAUUUUUUUCUUUUCUUUCAAACUAAAACCCCAACCGUUGGAUUCAAAAAAACUGAAUCCAAUGGCUCAAUGGCAGCCCCUGCACCAUACAGGGGAUUUUAGGCCCUGCAUGGUAGCCGUGUCCCGCAUGUAAUGGUCAACAUUAGUUAAGAAGACAUGCAUCGAAACAAACAACAAACAGGUGGAUGCAACUAUUGGUUGAAAAUAACUUGGUGGAAGCAUGCUACUCUAGGUUGGGCUAAGAUCAAAAUGAAAUUUUCGAAAAAAGGGUUGAAAAUAUUUGGAAGAGAUCGGGCAAUGCAUUGCCAAAGUAAUUGGUGGGAAAAAAGGUCAAAAUUCCCCUUUAACCCUGAGGAUUGAAAUAAUAUCUAAUUUUAAUUUUAUCCUUGGAAUUUAAAUAAUAGGCCAUGUCAUUCCCAAUUUUGAACGACGACGACGACGACAACAACAACAAUAAUAAUAAAACUAAUAAUGCUUAAUAUUAUAAUUAUGACGACGGUGAUGGUAAUGUUGGGAAAAUAUGCUUUCCAAAAUCAUAUGUGUUUAUUUAAUUGUAAUAAAUAUUUUUUCUGAUUAAUAAAAUUAAUGAGGUAUUUUAUUCAAAUAUCUUAAUUGCAUUAAUAUUUUUAUUAAAGUCCAUUUAAUCAUAUUAUAUGUAUUUAUGUGAUCACUAUGUGGAUUCACAGAAGAAAUAAAUACAAGUUAUCUUAUGAUUAAAUAAAAUUUAGUUCGCAGUUGAUAAAUAAAGUUGGACACUUUAUUUAGGUAUAGAUUGUAAUAAAUUCAUUUAAUGAUUUGUCUUAAUCAUAUAUGAAUUUAUUGAUGUAGUACGACUACAUUGAAGAGGAUCACAUAUGAGAUUUAAUUAAUUUUGUAAUAACUGUCAGACUUAUUAAAUCUCAUAGGCAUUGAUUUUACUGUAAUCUUAAUCUUGAGUUAAUUAUGAUUUCAUGAUUGUAAUUGUUAUUCCAUUUGAGUUACCAAUGGGCUUGACACAUACUUGUAGUCUAGAUUACCCGGUAUCUUGGUGGGAGCAUUUAUGAGUAUUGGAGUUAUAGAUUAACAAUAUAGAAUUUGUACAACACAUCUCUUGAUAGGUUUUCGGUACUUGAUCAUAGAAUUCUCUGGCCAGAGUGUGUCAACAUAUUUAGUAUGUUGAAAAUGAUCAUUAGAGAAAACGAGUAAGUAUCAAGGAAUAAGAUGUAAUUAAAUCGAUUGGACAGUUGAGAUGUCGAUUUAAUUAACGAUGUGGUAUAAAGGAUUAUGCAGUAAAGACAUCAAUGUGGCUUGGGACGAAUUAUUAUUCGAGUAUACAAUUAUGGAGAUCAAUUCCAAUAUUUUAGUGGAGUAGAAUUGGAAUUAAAUAAUUCGGCUAGUUUAAUUACAAGCCUAAUUAUUACAGCCACUAUUGUAUGUUCCCAAAUGAUCCCCGGGUUAGCUCAUUUAAUUAACUACACCACUACUGGAUUAAUAAGCAAGAUAAUUAGCUAUUUGGGUCAAAAGACUAAAUAUAUCAUUUAGUGGGAGGCUCCAUUUAAUUAGCUUGUGUGUAAGGGGCCUUAUGUUAUUUUAUAAGGUGGGUCCCCUAUAGAAAAAGCAAGUAACGUGAGUUUUGAUUUUCAUUAUUUGGAGCCUAGGGUUUUCACUAAAUGAAGAUAUAAAAAGGCUUAUUUUCUUUAAAGAAAAAAGAUGGCAGCCACUUUAUACAAAUCAGAAAAAAAUCUUUUUCUCUCUAUUGUUGAGAGAAAAAUUUUCUCGUGCUAGUUGCUUUGGUAGUGAUAAAGGCGCCCACACGUCAAGUGCAGAUAAAACCUGAGUCAUAACCUGGAAGAUCAUUGGUGUCAGUUCGUGAUCUAACAAGCGUGGUGGUGAUGGAUCGUGAUCUAACUAGAGUGGUGGUGACGGAUCGUGAUCUGGGAGCCUAAAUCAUUUCAGCAAAAAAAUCCAAAUUGGAUUUUCAAGGUAUGAUUUUUAGAUUACAAAUUCUUAUAUAUUGUAUGAGAGCGAUCUUAAAAGGUUUUAUAAAAAUUGAAAAAAUUGAUUUUUCUCCAACAAUUGGUAUAAGAGCCAUCUCAUAUUAAUAUAUAAGAAUUUCGUAUGAAAUUAAUCUUGAUAUUAUGUAUUAGAGUGGCACAAUUUAUUCAAAUAUAUAUUAUUUGUUUAAUAUAUGAAUAAAGCAUGUUUAUGGUUUGUCUUAAUUCAUGGUUAGAUUUUCUACUGUAUUUGUCGUUUGGUCUGUAACAAAAGGGGUGGUUUUUUAUCACUAUGUUUCCCUCUUGAUUUAGUUUAUUGUUAUAGAAAUUUUGUAAGCCAAAAUUGGCAUAGGAAAUUUGUAAAUACUAAAGAAUAAUCACGGAUGUUGAUCAAAGCAAUGAUGGCUACAAAUUUUGACAACCACGAACCCACCACAACCAGCGUAGGAUGCCUCACGAAUCACGCUGCCAGCAGCUGCGCGUGUGCUCUGCACGCCCAACAGCGCGCGCUGCAUUGCACGUGCAACAAGCUGGCCGCCCGCGGCAACCAACAAAAACCAGCAGCUGCAGCGCGCGACCAACAGCGCCACCAGCAACGCUAGUGAAGGCUGGUCGCUUGAGCAAGAUGGCUGCUGGCGGAGCGGUGGCUUUCCGGUAAGGGACGGCGGUAACUUGGGGUCAGAGAUGGUGGCUGUCCGGUGUGAGAGUUUUAAACGAGGGCAGUUUUUGCGUUGAUGGCAGCUGGGGAGAAGGAAAAGAAAAAAAUGUGAUUUUAGGGUUUCAUGGUUUUUGUCAUGGAGGUCCCUAUAGUUUCAUAUUCUUUUUUGUGGAUAAAAAUUUUUAAUUUUUUGCAUUUAAGUUCAAACAUAGUUUUGGGUUUAAUGAAUUAUAGUUUUAGGCUCAAUUUCAAUUGGGCUUAAUGGAUUAAAAUGCAUAGAUAAAAUUGAAUAUAUUAAAUUUAUUUUUGGUCCAAAAGUUUUAUUUUAAUAAUUUUUUAAUUAUUUAUUUAUUUCUUUUCAAAAUUAAAAUUGGACCAAUUAUAAAUUUAAAAGCCCAAUUUCCCCUAGUCCAUCAAUAAAGACAAGCUUAUGAAAGAUGGACAUUAACAAGAAGCCCAAUGAAGAUUAGGCUUAGGGUUAAUGUAUUUUUUCAUUUUAGGAAAGCCAUGAAUUAAGAUUAUUUAAUUAUUUUUCUAUAUGUUAUGUUUUGGAUGAUAACAUGCCAUAAUAACAUGUCAUAUAGAAUAGGUAGUGCCACUCUAUGCAUAAUGAUACAUAUUAUUCAUUAAUUAUGAAUCUCGUUAUAUUGUUUGAAAUUUGCAUAUGCUUAAUAAUAUUGGAUAUCAUCUAGAUAAUAUUAUAGGAAGCAUGCAAUUAACAAUAUGUAUGUUUUAAAAGGAAAAACCAAUUUUAAAAUAUUGAGUGGGAGAGGGAAAAUUCAAGAUAAUUUUCCCACGGGCUCCAUUGUUAGUUCAAUAAUAAAAUUAUAUAUAUACCUCGACUUCAUGAUACGGUGAUGCUCCCUUCGGAGCGUAUAUAUAUUAGAUAUUUUAUUUGAUGAACUUCUUCAAAGAUAAAAUUAAAAUAUUUUUCAAUCGAUUGUUCACCCCAAAUGUGACUAUUGAUAUGUAAAAUACGUAAAUUGAAACAAUGAUUAUACACUCAACUAAAAUUUGUUAUUAACAUUCCCAACGAAGCUCUGUUACCAAAUUUAGGCCCAAAAAGGAUAACAAUAAUUAUUUAUCAUGUCUCUACAUGAAAGUAAAUAAUUCAAUGGCUAAUUGGGUCUAGUAAGUAUAGACAUGACUUCCCCAACGAAUAGCUUGUCAAAGCGGAACUAGAUUAUCGUUACAAUAAAUAAAAAUGCAUUUAUGGUUUUAUGCAUUUUUGUUAUUUAUUGUGAAUAUUAUUUCAAAUUAUUUAUGCAUGGAUGUUUUAUUUUUCAGAAAAUGUCUUCCCUGAGCCCAUUUACUAUUAUUCUGAGUCAAAACAAACUCACUGGAGAGAACUAUAUCGAUUGGAAAAGAAAUCUAUUCAUUGUCCUGACUGCUGAAAAUUAUAAAUAUGUCUUAACCCAGCCAUGCCCUCUAGUUCCAGCGGAUGAUGCUCAUAGAAAUUAGAGGAAGCUUUAUGAGAAAUGGCAAAAGGCCAAUGAAAUGGCAAAAUGCUACAUUUUAGCCUCAAUUUCUAAUAUUCUGCAGACCAAACAUCAGAACUUGGAGACUGCUACUAAAAUAAUGGAUAGUUUCCAAUAGAUGUUCGGGCAGAGUACCCGCUCCGCGAGACAAGCAGCGCUAAAAGGAAUUAUGAACAGUAAAAUGGGGAAGGGCAAAAGAGUUCGUGAUCAUGUCCUCAAAAUGAUGGACUAUUUGAAUGAGGCUAAGAUUCAAGGAGCACAAAUCGAUGAUAACUCAAAGAUUGACAUGGUGCUAGAAUCUCUGCCAGAAACAUUCAAGGAGUUUAAGGUCAAUUAUAAUAUGAACAAAAGAAACAUGAACUUAACUAAAUUGAUGAACGAACUCCAUUCUGCUGAAGAGAUCUAUCGUACUGAGAAAUCUCUGGGAAGCAUAAAUAUUACUGAAAAAAGUUCAUCUUCUGGGCCUAAACCGAAAGGCAAAGGUAAGAAGAAAGCUAGGAAAAAUAAACCGUUUACCAAGCAAGAUGGCAAGCCGAAAGGCAAAUGCUUUAAGUUUGGACAGAAAGGUCACUGGAAAAAGGAUUGCCCUAAUAUUGUGAAAUCAGACAUGGGAAAUCUUUUUGUAAUUGAGGCCUGUUUAGUUCAGAAUCCUAUUGACACUUGGGUGUUGGAUUCAGGAGCAACUAAUCAUAUUUGUAAUUCACUUUAUUGGUUUCUGGAAACCAGGAAAAUAAGUUAAGGAAGCAUCAAGCUACAGUUAGGGACAGGACAGUUCGUGUCAGCAGUGAAGACUGGAUCUGUUUUAUUAUCUUCUAGUAAUAAGACUUUAAUUUUAAAUAAUUGUCUUUAUGUUCCAGACAUAAAGAGGAAUUUAAUUUCAGUAGCUUGUUUGUCAAAGUAAGGGUACACUGUAAAUUUUGGAUACUCUGUUUCUAUUUUUUAUAAGAAGAGACUUAUUUGUUCUGGUACAUUGGAAGAUAAUUUAUAUCAUUUAAGUUCAAUGAUCCAUUCUAUGCACGACACAGUAAUAAAUAAUGAUGAGCAUACACAUUUAUUUAAGAAAAGAAAUAUUUCUUCCAACCAAUGUUAUCUCUUACAUUUACGCUUGGGUCAUAUAAACCAAAAUAGGAUACAAAGAAUGAUCAAAGAUGGACUUUUGGGUUUAUUAGAAAAUGAAUCAUUGCCACUAUGUGAAUCUUGUUUAGAAGGGAAAAUGACCAAAAGGCCAUUCUCGGCCAAAGGAGUACGUGCAACAGUACCACUUGAAUUGGUACAUACAGAUGUAUAUGGACCAAUCAAUGUACAAGCUCGAGGAGGUUAUGAGUAUUUCAUCAUUUUCACCGAUGAUUACUCGAGAUACGAUUAUAUUUAUCUGAUGCGUUACAAGUCUGAAGCUCUUGAGAAAUUUAAAGAGUAUAGGGCUGAGACAGAAAAUCAAUUAGAUAAGAAUAUAAAGAAACUUCGAUCUGAUCGACUGUAUGUUUGUGGGGUAUCCUAAAGGAACAAGAGGAGGUUUAUUUUAUAGUCCUCAAGAUAGGAAAGUGAUCGUGAGCACAUAUUUCACUUCCCUAGAGGAAGACUAUAUGAAUAACUUCAAACCUAAGAGUAAGGUAAUACUUGAAGAACUAUUAGGUAAUCAAGUUGAUGCUCAGCUUUCAAUGCCUGUUACAGAACAGGUAGAACAGCAACAACCAGAUGAUCAACACAGGAUUAUCCCUGAACAACCAUCACUUUUAGAACCUCGUCGUAGUGGGAGGGUAACUAGGUUACCUGCGAGAUACAUGCUUUUGGGAAAAAUCUAUACGGCUAUCUUAGAUGAACAUGUACAAGGUCCCACUAGUUACAACGAAGUUCUAAUAGAUAGAGAUGUUGAAUUUUAGAAAAAGGCCAUGAAUAAGAAAUAGAAUCUAUGUAUUCCAAUAAAGUCUGGGAACUUGUAGAGGCACCAAAUGAGGUAAAACCUAUAGGGUGCAAGUGGAUCUACAAGAGAAAAAGAGGAGUAGACAGAAGGGUGGAAACAUUUAAAGUAAGAUUAGUAGCCAAAGGGUUUACUCAGAAAGAGGGAAUCGAUUAUGAGGAAACNNNNNNNNNNNNNNNNNNNNNNNNNNNNNNNNNNNNNNNNNNNNNNNNNNNNNNNNNNNNNNNNNNNNNNNNNNNNNNNNNNNNNNNNNNNNNNNNNNNNNNNNNNNNNNNNNNNNNNNNNNNNNNNNNNNNNNNNNNNNNNNNNNNNNNNNNNNNNNNNNNNNNNNNNNNNNNNNNNNNNNNNNNNNNNNNNNNNNNNNNNNNNNNNNNNNNNNNNNNNNNNNNNNNNNNNNNNNNNNNNNNNNNNNNNNNNNNNNNNNNNNNNNNNNNNNNNNNNNNNNNNNNNNNNNNNNNNNNNNNNNNNNNNNNNNNNNNNNNNNNNNNNNNNNNNNNNNNNNNNNNNNNNNNNNNNNNNNNNNNNNNNNNNNNNNNNNNNNNNNNNNNNNNNNNNNNNNNNNNNNNNNNNNNNNNNNNNNNNNNNNNNNNNNNNNNNNNNNNNNNNNNNNNNNNNNNNNNNNNNNNNNNNNNNNNNNNNNNNNNNNNNNNNNNNNNNNNNNNNNNNNNNNNNNNNNNNNNNNNNNNNNNNNNNNNNNNNNNNNNNNNNNNNNNNNNNNNNNNNNNNNNNNNNNNNNNNNNNNNNNNNNNNNNNNNNNNNNNNNNNNNNNNNNNNNNNNNNNNNNNNNNNNNNNNNNNNNNNNNNNNNNNNNNNNNNNNNNNNNNNNNNNNNNNNNNNNNNNNNNNNNNNNNNNNNNNNNNNNNNNNNNNNNNNNNNNNNNNNNNNNNNNNNNNNNNNNNNNNNNNNNNNNNNNNNNNNNNNNNNNNNNNNNNNNNNNNNNNNNNNNNNNNNNNNNNNNNNNNNNNNNNNNNNNNNNNNNNNNNNNNNNNNNNNNNNNNNNNNNNNNNNNNNNNNNNNNNNNNNNNNNNNNNNNNNNNNNNNNNNNNNNNNNNNNNNNNNNNNNNNNNNNNNNNNNNNNNNNNNNNNNNNNNNNNNNNNNNNNNNNNNNNNNNNNNNNNNNNNNNNNNNNNNNNNNNNNNNNNNNNNNNNNNNNNNNNNNNNNNNNNNNNNNNNNNNNNNNNNNNNNNNNNNNNNNNNNNNNNNNNNNNNNNNNNNNNNNNNNNNNNNNNNNNNNNNNNNNNNNNNNNNNNNNNNNNNNNNNNNNNNNNNNNNNNNNNNNNNNNNNNNNNNNNNNNNNNNNNNNNNNNNNNNNNNNNNNNNNNNNNNNNNNNNNNNNNNNNNNNNNNNNNNNNNNNNNNNNNNNNNNNNNNNNNNNNNNNNNNNNNNNNNNNNNNNNNNNNNNNNNNNNNNNNNNNNNNNNNNNNNNNNNNNNNNNNNNNNNNNNNNNNNNNNNNNNNNNNNNNNNNNNNNNNNNNNNNNNNNNNNNNNNNNNNNNNNNNNNNNNNNNNNNNNNNNNNNNNNNNNNNNNNNNNNNNNNNNNNNNNNNNNNNNNNNNNNNNNNNNNNNNNNNNNNNNNNNNNNNNNNNNNNNNNNNNNNNNNNNNNNNNNNNNNNNNNNNNNNNNNNNNNNNNNNNNNNNNNNNNNNNNNNNNNNNNNNNNNNNNNNNNNNNNNNNNNNNNNUAUUGUUGGGAAAAUAUGCUCUUUAAAAGCAUAUGUGUUUAUUUAAUUGUAAUAAAUAUUUUUUCUGAUUAAUAAAAUUAAUGAGGUAUUUUAUUCAAAUAUCUUAAUUGCAUUAAUAUUUUUAUUAAAGUCCAUUUAAUCAUAUUAUAUGUAUUUAUGUGAUCACCACAUGGAUUUAGAGAAGAAAUAAAUACAAGUUAUCUUAUGAUUAAAUAUUCAUUUAGAACAUUGAUGAACCAUGUGUGUACAAGAAAAUUUAAGAAAAAUCUAUAGCCUUCCUAAUCCUUUAUGUAGAUGAUAUUCUCCUAAUUGGAAACGAUAUAGGAGUAUUGACUAUAAUAAAGAGUUGGUUAGCAAAACAAUUUGAUAUGAAAGACAUGUGAGAGGCAAGUUAUAUUUUUGGUAUCAAGUUACUACGAGACCGGAAGAAUAAAACUUUAACCUUGUCUUAAGCGGUCUAUAUCGAUAAGAUACUGGCUAGAUUUAGCAUGAAAAAUUCCAAGACUGGUUCAUUAUCAUUCAGACAUGGAAUUACAUUCUCUAAGGAUCAAUCACCUAAAACAUCUAAAAAGAUAGAGAGAAUGAGACGAGUUCCCUAUACAGAAGCUGUGGAAAGUCUCAUGUAUGCCAUGCUUUGCACUAGGCCAGACAUCUAUUUUGCGGUAAGGAUGGUUAGUAGAUAUCAAUCUAGUCCUGGACCUGAACACUGGACUGAGGUCAAGCAUAUAAUGAAGUAUUUGAAAAGAAUUAAAAAUUAUAUACUUGUGUAUUCUGGUGAUGAACUCAUUCCAGUGGGUUAUACUGAUUCUGACUUUAUGUCAGAUAAGGAUUCUAGAAAAUCAACUUCCACCUAUGUGUUUACAUUGGGAAGUGGAGCUAUUAGUUGGAGGAGUGUGAAACAAUCUUGUAUCGCAGACUCCACAACUGAAGCUGAAUAUGUGGCUGCAUCUGAAGCUGCAAAAGAAGCUGUAUGGCUCCACAAGUUCCUACAAAAUCUUAAGGUGGUACCUGUUGUAACUGCACAUUGCAUUUAUAAUACAAUUUGAAUAAGAGUUGAAAUUGUAAUUUACAAGAUUGCUCAGUCCUAAGGGGCAGCCGAGUGUCUUUUAGCCUCUUUAUUUAAUUAGCUAUCCAAGUUAUACUUGUUACGAUUACGUGCUCUUUAAAGCAUAUCGAUUUAUGUAUAGGAAAUUAUUAUUCGUAUACCCUAAAUUUGCGUUUUUAUUAAAAAUAUUAUAAUAUUUUAAGGGUGCAUCAAUCGUCCACUCUAAAUUGACAAAAAUUAUCUGUCGACCACUAAACUGUUAACUGUCAUUUGAAAGUUAACAGAACUGUAGCGAAUUGACGAUUUUACCCUUGAAAAUUAUCACUUAUAUACCCUUAAAAUCUCUUAUUAUCACUUAUAUACCCUUAAAUUAUCAUUUGUAUCAUAUGAAAAACUAGAUUACCCCUCUGACGUCAUCAUAUUUAAACGGCAACUAACGGUUUAGUGGACGGCAAAUACACUUUGUCAACUUAGGGCGGACGACUGAUAUAUCUUUAAAGUGUUGUAGUAAAUUUGAUAACGGAGUAAACUAAGGGUAUACAAUUGAUAAUUGUCCUUUAUCUAUUUAUAAUAAAUAUAUUUUUUUAUUAAUAAAAUGUUUGAGAUAUUUUUCAAACAUCUUAAUUGCAUAAAUAUUUUGAAUAAAGUCCGUUUAAUCAUAUUAUAUGUAUUUAUGUGAUUAUCGUAUGAUUCACAGAAGAUAUAAAUACAAGUUAUUUUAUGAUUAAAUAAAUUGAGUUUACAGUUGAUAAAUAGAGUUGGGCGCUCUAUAUAUGUUUAGACUGUAGUAAAUUCAUUGAAUAAUUUAUCUUAAUUAUGUAUGAGUUUACUAUUGUAGUUUGAUUGCAUUGAACUAGAUCACAUAUGAGAUUUAAUUAACCGUGAAAUGACUAUCAGACUUAUUAAAUCUCAUAGGCAUUAAUUUUAUUGCAAUCUCAAUCUCAAGUUAAUUAUAGUUUCAUGUUUGUGAUUAUUAUUUCAUUUUAGUUAUUAAUGGGCGCGACAUACAUUUGUAGUCAAGAUUACCCAGUAUCUUGCUGGAAGCAAUCAUGAGCUGUGAGAUUAUAGGUUAAUAAUAUAGAAUUUGUACAACAUAUCUGUUGAUGAGUUUUUGAUACUUGAUCAUAGAAUUCUCUGGCCAUAAUGUGUUAACAUAAUUAGUAUGAUUCUCGGGUUAGCUCAUUUAAUUGACUGCACCACUACUGGAUUGAUAAGUAAGAUAACUAACUAUUUAGGUCAAAAACCUAAAUAUAUCAUUUAGUGGGAGGCUCCAUUUAAUUAGCUUGUGUGUAAGAGGCCUUAUGUUAUUUUAUUUUACAAGGUGGGUCCCUUAUAGAAAAAGCAAGUAACGUGAGUUUUUAUUUUCAUUAGGAGCCUAGGGUUUUUACUAAAGGGAGAUGUAAAAAAGCUUAUUUUCUUUAAAGAAAAAAGAUGGCAUCCACUUUAUACAGAUGAGAGAAAAAUCUUUUUCUCUCUAUUGUUGAGAGAAAAAUUUUCUCGUACUAGUUGCUUUGGUAAUGAUAAAGGUGCCCACACGUCAAGUGCAGAUAAAACCUGAGUCAUAACCUGGAAGAUCAUUAGUGCCAGUUCGUGAUCUAACAAGCGUGGUGGUGACGGAUCGUGAUCUAACUAGAGUGGUGGUGACGGAUCGUGAUCUGGGAGCCUAAAUCAUUUCAGCGGAAAAAGCCAAAUUGGAUUUUCAAGGUACGAUUUCUAGAUUACAAAUUCUUAUAUAUUGUAUGAGAGUGAUCUUAAAAGGUUUUAUAAAAAUUGAAAAUUUUGAAAAAUUUAAUUUUUCUCCAACAGAUAAUUUGCGUAAUAAUAAUAAUAAUAAUUUUAAUAAUAAUAAAUUAUCAACCAAGAAAUGAAGGCUUUAUUGAUAUGACGGAUAAGUUAAAAGAGGAAAAAAGAAAGAGAAAAAUAUCUUCAACACUCUAUUUUAACUAUUUUCUUUGACAGUCCCUAUUGUUUAUUGCAAGUAAUAGAAACUAUGAGUUUAAUAGUUUGUUUUAUAAUAAGCCCCAAUUAAAUUGUACUAAUUAAAAAAUUAACAAAAUUAUCUGACUUGUUAUUCAGUAGUCCCUAUUUGUUAGAGCUGGCAAAACGGGUCAUCUGGUCGUGUCAGUUUCGUGUCGUGUCAAAUUUAAGUCGGCAAAAUGGGUCAUCGGGUCGUAUUCGUGUCGUGUCAAAUUUAGGUCGAGGUUGACCCAAACCCGACCCAUUUAAUAAUCGUGUCAAAAUAUUGAGACCCAAACCCGACACGGAAAAAUAAUCGGGUUACCCAAUAAUCCGUUUAAUAUCUAUAUAUUGAACAAAAGUUACAUCAAAUAUUUACAAGUUACAUCAAAUAUUUACACACUAUCAUACAUACGUAUGUACAUACAUACAUACAUACAUACAUAAUUUAUCGAUAUUAUAAAAUAUACAUAUCUACCAAUAUAUUACUCAUUUACACUAUUGAGGUUUUAAUUUUAUAUAUAUAUAUAUAGUAGUUUUUUUGUCAAGGAUUUUAAAGUGCGGGAAAGUCCGGGAAAGCUUUAAAACCGCACGGCUUUAAAAGCUUACAGUUUUAAACCUUUAAAACCAUGCGGUUUUAAAGUUUUCUCAUUUAUAUUCACCCUUUUAAAGAAUAAAAAAAAAGAAAAUCAUUAUUAAUAUUUGAGUUUUAAUGAUAAGAAUAUGUCUUCUCAAAAAAAAUGAUAAGAAUAUGUAAAUUAUUUUAAAAUAGAAAAUAUAAUCGGAUCAUUGAUCGGGUAAAUGGGUCAAGAAUUUUAACCCUAACCCGACACAGGAAAAAAUCGUGUUGACCCGGACCCGACCCGUUUAAUAAUCGUGUUAAAUUUGACGACCCAUACCUAUUUAUUUAUGUUGUGUUCGUGUCGGGUAAUCGCGUCGUGUCAAAUUUUGCCAGCUCUACUAUUUGUUUCGGUAAAGAGUUUAAAGUAAAGUCUUGUAAUAUAGGUUUAACAGCAACCUCCUCUUGAAUCACCUCAAGCCAUCGUGGUAGCAACAGGGACAUGGCAAACACAGCACCUUGUGGUUGUUCAUGACUUCACGAGAGAGCGUCAGCCACGACAUUCUCCUUUCCCUUCUUGUACUCCACUUUAAAAUCAUAUCCCAUGAAUUUGUAUAGCCAUUUCUGUUGAGUCGUAGUUACGAUUUUUUGGGACCACAGAUGUUUAAGACUUUGAUGAUCAGUCCUAACGAUGAAUUGUUUGCCUAGCAAGUAUGGCCUUCAUUUUUGUAUUGCUAAUGCUAAUGCAAGUAUCUCCUUCUCCUAUGUAGAAAGAAGAAGAUGUUUUCCUCGAAGUGCUUGGCUGAAAUACGCAAUAGGUCUCUCCUGUAAUAAAAUUGCACUAACCCCAUGGCCAGAAGCAUCAUAUUCAACUAUAAAGGUUUUUGAAAAGUUAGGAAGAGAUAAUACAGAGGCUUGCAUCAUGGCUAUCUUGAGCUUUUGAAAAGCCUCCUUCGAAGCCGGACUCCAUUCAAAAGAAUCUUUCUUUAACAUAUUGGUUAGAGGAGCAUCAAUUUUUCCAUAAUGUUGAAUGAAUUUUCGGUAAUAACCUGUGAGUCCAAGAAACCCACGUAAGGCUUUACAUGUGCUUGGUUUCGGCCAUGACAUCAUUGCUUCAAUUUUGCUAGGGUCGACAGCAACUCCCUGCUUUGAAAUAGUAUGUCCCAGAUACUGCACUUCUUCUUUCCCGAAUCAGCAUUUUUCAAGCUUCACUCUCAACUUGUUAGCUUUUAGGAUGUCAAAAAUAAUUCUCAAAUGUUCCAUAUGAGAAUCCCAAUCCUUACUAUAAAUGAGCAUAUCAUAAAAUAAAAAGUACAAAUUUUUGUAAUAAUUCUUGGAAUACCUCAUUCAUAAGUGCUUGGAAGGUGGAUGGAGCGUUGGUAAGCACAAACGACAUUACCAAAAAUUCAUAAUGGCCUUCAUGUGUUCGAAAUGCAGUUUUCUCGACAUCAUUUGGGUGCAUACUGACUUGAUGGUAGCCUGAGCGUAAAUCCAAUUUUGUAAAAAAAUUGAGCUCCUGCUAAUUCAUCUAAGAGUUCAUCAAUCACGGGAAUUGGGAAUUUAUCUUUGACUGUAAUUUGAUUCAACGCUCGGUAGUCGACGCACAUCCUCCACGAACCAUCAUGCUUUUUAACCAACAAGAUAGAACAAAAAUAAGGACUGGUACUAGGGCAAAUAAUUCCAGCAGCCAUCAAGUCUUCGACAAUUUUCUCAAUCUCAUUCUUCUGAAAAUAAGGAUACAUGUAUGGUCUUACUGCAACUGGUCCUCGUCCUUGUAAAAGUGGAAUUCGAUGAUCGUGAAUUUGUCGAGGAGGGAGACCAAUAUGUUCAUUCAAUACUUCCUGAUACCCUUGCAGAAGUUGUUGAACUGGUGUUGGAAUAAAGUCUUUUUCAUCCUUCGCAUCUUCCCCAUGCAUAAUAUGAACGAUAACCCCUUUUUGUCCUCUUGUAAUUUUUGUGACAGGAACAAUAUCACUAAUCUUCUGAGAUGAACUAGUGAGCCCACGUAAAACUACUUCUUUGCCUCCCCAAGCAAACUUAAGAUCUUAGCCACUGAGUACCAAGAACAAUGUCAUAACCGUCAAAAGGAAAAAUGACAAAAGUCUACUGAAAACAAUGACUUUUGCAAUUUUAAUGGAACCUGUGAACACUUUCCUGGGCUGAUUAGUCUUUCACCUGAAGCUACCAUUACAUUCAUUCUGCUGUAGGUAGUUGGUUGGAGAUUUGCACGUUGAGCCAUUUCGGAACUGAUGAAGUUAUGUGUACUACUGGAGUCGACCAUAGCUAUCACAUAAUGCCAUUUGAGUCCUCCUCAGAUCCUCAUUGUUGUUGGCGAUUGAAAACCAGCCAUCGCAUGGAAUAAAAUUUUAGGUUCAUUAAUUGUCUCUUCAGCUUCUAUAACCACGUCUCCAUCUGCUUCCUCCCAACAAGCUUCGAUCAUAAAGAGUUUUUUACAGACAUGUCCGGGGCCAAAUUUGUCAUUACAGUGAAAACAUAAUUCUUUUCGUCUUCUUUCAGCUAGUUCCUCAGAUGUCAUCCUUUUGACUAUCGUCGAUCAUGCUUGGCCACAAGUCUGAAAUUUUACUUGAUUUAUGGGUCUUGAGGACUGGGAAGUAAGUUUCUUUUGAUCUGAAUUACUAGCUUCAAAUAAUCUUGCUAACCCAAUGGUCAUGGUUAAAGUUGUUGGCCUAUUAGCUUGCACAUCAGUUCGAAUACUAUCUCGAAGCCCAGUUAGAAAACAGCUCACCUUCCGGUCUUGUGAUAAGUGCCCAACUUUUGCCAACAGUUUUUCGAAAUGGCCUUGAUAUUCCACAAGUGUGCCGGUUUGCCGUAGCUUUAAUUAAUUCACUAAAAUGGUCUUCAAAUUGGUUGAGGCCAAAUCGAGAAAAUAUCUUAUUCUUGAAAUCUUCCCAGGUGAUAUAAAGUUUUUUUUUUUUUUUUUACCACGAGAUAUCCUGGGGAGUAUCUAACUGUGGGAGGAUCUAACUGUGGAAGGCACCUUUAAGCCUGUACCAUAACCCAAACUAGAAGUUUCCGCUCGAAUCGAGAGGCACAGGUUCUUUCAACAAAGGCGACUUUCCUGCGACUCGAACUGGGGAGCAAAUUCAAUCAAGCCACUUAAGGGGACUCCAUUGCCAGUAGAGCCAACACUUUGUUGGUGAUAUAAAGUAUUUCUUGCUCCAGCAUUUGAAACCAUAGCCGAGCAUCGCCCUCCAAGUAAAAUGAAGCCAGUGUCACCUUGUCUGAUUCUGCAACGUUGUGGAGGGAAAAGUACUUUUCAGCUCUACAUACCCAAGUGGUAGGAUCAUCAUUUCCAUCAUAACGAGGAAAAUCAAGCUUGACAGUCUUUGGAAUGAUGCUGUUCAAUAAGCUAGUGGUCUUGAUUGGUGAUGAAUGUGGGGAUUGCCCUCUAAAUUUCUUUGAGUUUUGAGCUGAACUCUCUCCCAUUUCAUAAGUGUUUUUGCCAGAAACUUGUUGACUUAACUUCUCCAAUCUCUCUGUGACAUGGCAUAAAAGUUAUUUCUGGCCAGCAACAAUCUCCUCUAUGUUUUUUUCUAAUUUCUCAACCCUUUCUGAUAGCUCCAUGCCUGGCUUUGAUACUAGAAUGUUACUCACACAGCUGUUUGUUUAAGGAAAAAUAAGACACAAGUGCAAUUUUGUUAACUCUUCGAGGGGUUAGCACCUCCAAUUGCUCAAUUAAGAAUGAAUUAAUUUGCUAGAUGCCUUUUAUUCAUGACAAAGAAUGUUUAUAUACAGGUGCAGUACAACUGCCAUGAGCAAAACUAGGAACAAUUUAAGUAGAAAAAUCAGCAAAGUGGCUAACAACGUGGCUAAUCAUUUUUGACUUGACUUAUUCAAAUAAACUGACUUAUUCUUGACUAAUUCAAACAAAAUAAACUAGAUUGUAACAGUAUAAUGUGGAUCUGUGAUUGGCAUGGUGACACAACAUGAUAUUUUAGUUGUCAUUUGUCACUCAAGUGAUGAGCUUCCUGCCUAUACUUUUAUUUUAUUUUUUGAAUUGUUACAAAUUUACAAUCAGAGGCGUAACUAGGGUCAAGAAGGUCUAAGGGGCCAGUCCUCCACCAUUUGAAAAAAAUAUAUAUAUACAGAAAAUAUAAGGAUGAAAUUGAAAAUGUACUAAAUUUUAGGCAUAUUCGUUGACUUUGAAAGGAUGGGGAUAUUUCCAACCUACUAUUUUUGUAAAUUCAUUCCACUUCUAGAAAAUAUUUACAAUAAGUUCACAAUAUUCUUAAAAAACACAAAUUAAUAAAAGUUUUAUACAGUUCAUCAAUUAAAUUCUUCUAUUAAUUUUUUCUUAGGUUCUUUGACUAUCUUUGAUCAUAAAUUUUAAUACAAGUUUUAUUUUACUAUUUUAUUAUUAUGAUAUAAAAAGAUAAAAUUACCCUCAUAAAACAUGAGUUAUUAUAUCUAAUAAUUUAGGUAUUUAAUUUUGCGACUUAUAAUUUAAUAUUUUUAAAUGAAACCUAAUUAUUAUUUCAUUUCCCUUGUGUGUAAGUGACAUAAAUUUGAUAGCGUAAUAAUUUACAUGAGAAUUGUGCUAUCAAGACACUAUAUUAGUUUAAUUAAAAAACAAUAAUCUUAAUAAUAAAGUAGUAUUAGAAACAAUAAGUUUGGUACAAAUUAGAAAAAUAUUGAAGUUACAGUAAAUUCUUGAUAAUUUUAUUUUAUAAGGAUAAAAUAGUCAAUUUAAACUUAUGUCAAAGCAAUCUUUUUAAUCAAAUAUACUAAAUAAAUCUAAGUCACAUAAAAGUGAAUUAACAUAGAUUUAAUUAAUUAAUUCUCCAAAUCUCUUCUUAAUUUAAAAUUUUAAAAAAUAAUGUGUAACUUUUAUAAUAAUUUUUUUAAAAAGGGUGAAUUCACAAAAAAAUGUGGGGUGAAAAUAUCAUCACUCUUUUGAAAUUAUAAGCCAAAGCCUUUUUAAGUUUACAGCUUUUAUAAUAUAGUCCUUACAAAGUUUGGUGAAAGCAAACUUAAAUUUAUAGUUCCUUCAUUUAACCUCUCAAACAAUAUCUAGAAUCUACGCCUGAUUACAUUAUAUGGUACAUUACAAUUUGAGGUUUACUAGGAAUCUAAGUGACCCUGUACCACCCACCCUUUUGUUUUUGUUUUUGUUUUGUUUUUUUGAUUAACUGGGCUUUGUUUUUAUAUCAACAAGCCACAUUAUGGUUAAAACUGUUACUCAUUUUCUAAUGCCACAUGGAUUUAUCUAUUUAGUAGUCCAAAUUAAUUAAUCAAGCGAAACCCUCUGCACCCCCUCAGUUUUUGCUGAAAUUUUAAACUUGAAAGAAUCGAAUUAAAUUAACAAGAUAGAAAACCAAUUUCAAGAAGAGAAUAUUGAGCACUAUUUCAAGCACCCAAUUUAAUGAAGGGAAAAAAUUGCUCUCUAUUGAUCACAACAAUCAAGAUACAAGUUGGAUUAUGCAAAGAAAAUUACCAGGAUCAUAAAAAACCAAGUCUUAAACAAAAUAAGCAAGAAAUGAAGAAGAAAUCGAUCUAAAACCAGGAGCUAAUCAUCAGCGCCUUUUAUACUGAUAUCUUUGGGAAGAUACAUAAUGAAUUCUCAACGAGCUUUGCCACAUCAACAUAAAAUUGCAAUAAGACCCCUCCAACUAAAGUCAGUCUACAUAAGACCCCAAGAACUCUUCAAAUCUUGCAUUUAAGCCCAAAACACCAGAAGUUUAUAACCUCACACUCUCUACCUUGCAAACUUAAUUCAAUUGAUCAUUUCAGUAACGAACAUAUAAAAAAAAACCAUUCAAGCACACAGCUUAGCAACUAGAGCCAUUGCCAACACCAAUUCUAUUUACACAAAACUUAAAUUUGGUUGUUGGGAUUACUUUUGUCAACAUGUUAGCAGGGUUGACAUUUGUAUGAAUAUUUGUUACUAGAAUAGAACCUUUUGCAACUUCAUCCCUGAUAAAGUGCAACUUUACAUCAAUGUGUUUGGUCCUCUCGUGAUAGACCUGAUUUUUGAUGAGCUGAAUUGCACUCUGGUUGUCACAAAAAAUCUUAACUAUCUUUUACUUCAACAAAAGUUCAUUUAGCAACCCUCUCAACCAUAUUGACUUUUUUUAUAGCUCGUGUUGCCGCAAUAAAUUCAGCCUUUAUAGAUGAUAAAGCUACUAUGUGUUGUACAAUAGCUUUCCAAUUUACAACGCAGUUGUUUAACAUAAACAUAUAUCCUGAAAUAGACUUUCUCCUUUCUAGAUCCUCUGCAAAAUCAGAGUCAACAUAGUCCUUGACUUCUUGUUUAAAUUUACCAUAUACGAGGCCAUGAUUAGAAGUACCCCUUAGAUACCUCAUGAUCCACUUCACAACAUCCCAAUGUGUCUUACUAGGGUUGGUCAUGAAUCUACUAAAUAAACUUAUUGGAUAUAUUAUGUUUGCUCUAGUACAUACCAUAGCAUUCAUCAAGGUCCCAUUAGCUCGUGAAUAUGGUAUUUGGACUAUUUGAAGCUUCUCAAUUUCUGAUUUUGGAGACAUUUCAUCAAAAAGUUUGAAUUGACCUCCCAAAGGUGUCGAGACUUGUUUUGAAUUCAGCAUCCCAAACUGAUUUAGCACAUUGUUGACAUAUCUUUCUUGGCUUAGAAAUAAGGUUCCAGCAACCCUAUCUUUAUGUAUAUCCAUGCAAAGAAUUCUUUUGGCAUUAGAAAGGUCUUUCGUUUCAAACUCACUCUUAAGUAGAUUUUUAAGCCUUUCAAUAUCACUAGAGCACCCACCUACAAUGAGUAUAUCAUCAACAUACAACAAAAGCUGCACAACUCCACGUGAGUUUAUGUUUCCAUAAUAGACAACUAUUAUAUUUGCUCCUAAAGUAGCAUUAGAAAUCAUAAACUGAUCAAAUCUCUUAUACCACAAUUUAGAAGACUAUUUCAAGCCAUAUGGAGACUUAUGCAGAAGACACACAUAAUCUUUAUGUCCCUAUGCUUCAAAACCUUAAGGUUGUGACAAUAUUAUCUUCUCUUCAAGAUUACCAUGUAAGAAGGCAGUUUUUACAUUCAUUUAUUCAAGCUCUAAGUCAAGUAAGGCUACCAUAACAAGGAAGGUUCUAAUUGAGCUGUGUUUAACAACAGGUGAGAAGAUUUCAUUAAAAUCUUCCCUUUCUUAAAACCCUUUGUCACCAAUCUUGCCUUAUACCUUGAGUCUUCAACACCUGGAAUGCCCUCAUUUUUCUUGUAUAUCCACUUACAACUGACAAUUUUUCUAUUCUAUGGAUUAGGAACCAAUGUCCAAGUCUGAAUCCUUACUAGAGAAUCUAUUUUUUCUCUCAUUGCUUUAAUCUAGUUGCUGCUAUCCUUGCUACUUAAUGCUUUUGUGUAGCUAUUAGGUUUCUCAAUUGAAUUAUCCUCUGCACUCAUUAAUGCAUAUGCAACUAUGUCUGCAUAUUCAUACCUUGCUGAAGGUCUGAUAAACCUCCUUUCUCUAUGUCUAGCUAAGAGAUAUUCCUAUAAGUCAGUGGACUAUGAUAUUGUGCUUUCUGUUACUUCUGUCCCUUAUGAAACACCUUCAGCAGCAUGUGAAACAUCUUCAACAACCUGUGGUUGCAUAUCUUCUUCAUGAAUACUAGAUAGCAGAACUUUAUUCUUGGUACUUUGAUCACUAGUUUCAGCAUUAUUUGUCUUAUUUAUAUUGAUAUUAGUCGUGGAAGAAGCAUGAUCAGACUUAUUGAUCAUUGCAGCUUUAUUAAACUGAACAUCUCUACUAAUUAAACACCUAUAAGCUUUAUUAAAUUGAACAUCUCUGCUAAUUAAACAUACUUGAUGAGAUGCCAAUUUCUAUUGAAAAUAACAACAAAAAGACAAAAAUAUUAAAAGCAUAAAAUCUUCUAAAAACAUCUUACAUCAAUCUCACUCUCUUAAUCCUCAACUUUUGAAACAGUUCGGAGGAUGAAAAUUGUAGUACGGGAGUAAAUCAUCUUGUAACUCGAACUUAUAGUCUUUUUUUAUCAAUAUUUCGUGAAACUUUAAAGAAUUAUUACUCUAUCAAUUUUCCUUGCUGUGAGGUAGCAGAAGCAAAUUGAUAGCAUAAAUGAACACUAGAUAUCAUUUUAGAAACGCCCAAGCCAACGUAAUUAUGUUACACUCUAAUUAAACUAUGAUUAGAUCUUGUUCUAACCCAAACAACUCAUUGAGACUUUGAUAUGACUUUCUGAAAAGAUUAGAUAACACUAUAAUUCUACUAAAACAAUAACAAGAUCUCAUGAUUUGUCAUAGGAUAAACCUACUUCCAAAGUUAACUCAAACAAGAAAAAUAAUAAAUCACAAUUAUACUAGAAUUAUUAAACAUACCUAAUAAGAUGCUGCUUGAAAUGGAAAAUAACAAAAAAAAAAGACUAAAAUAAAAAAAGCCUAAAAUCUCCUAAACCUUCCUACCUCAAUUGUUAUAGAGAAGAAUAAGAAUUGAAGAAGAAACAAGAAAUAAUAAUAACAAUAAAAAGAACAUGUGUCACUUGUACUAGGCGAUGGGUCCAUCGCCCAUUUCAAUAGUGGAUUUUGUUAUUUUUAAAAAUUAAAUUAGUUAAAAGCUAAUUUUAAAAUUUUCUUUGUUAGUUUAGUGAUUGUUGCAUGUUAUACUUUUGUGCCGUUCAUAAUGAUUUGAUUAACAACCUUGUUGUUUAUUGGACUACUUUUUUAUAAAUGUAGUAUAUUUAAAAAUUUCAUUUUGCUACACCGUUUCUUAAAUUGGUGCUGGUUAUUACGACGAUUGUGAUAUUGAGGGUUUUUAUUUAUAAGAACAUAUUGUAGGAGGGUAUUGAGAAAUAUUUUCUCUCGUUUUUUUAUAACGUUUUUGUGCCGUACACAUCAGACAUGUUUUCUAGCAUAUGCCUAAAGUACUGAUGGAGAAAAACUUAUAUCAGGUUUUAUGUUGAGCUGGUGGGAUGGUCUAUUAGAGCUCGGAUUUCAAAAUGAAACACACCAAUUUUGAGACAAAAUAUGAAGGUUGGGGAGACAGGGGGAAAAUCUAAACUUUAACUACUAGGAGUAAGGUUGCCUAUUUGCCUUAGAUCUUUACAAAACGGAAUACUGUGAUCUAAAAUUUGUAAUUUCUGUAAAUUAUUUUAUUGCUUCUGGAAAUGAAGCCACCAUCGAGAACAUGAUAAAUGAACAAGAAUCAGAUGACAACUUGGGAGGGAUUUGUGACAAGAUGAAAUGAUGUGAGAUGAGCUCAGACUUGAGAGGCAUAGGUCUAUCAACAACCUUACCACUACGAAGAGUUAUAACUGACUUGACUUGGUCUGUGGGUGGAUUUUGUUGAAUUUUAGGAUUUGGUUGUGGUUGGGCUGGAAAUUUUCCUUUUUCUUGAAUGGUGAGUGCAGAAGCGAUUUUAGCAAGAGUAUCUUUCAAAUCAGAAAAAGUUUGUGCAUUUUGAUUGUUAAUAACAUCUUGCUGCUGUACCGUACAUCCGCCUUGGCCGUACAGCAGUUUUUAUUAUUAUUAUCUGCAUAAUCAUUGGUUCUUUUUAAAGGAUUUCCUAAUCAAAUAAGAAUAAUUUUACAUUUAUUUUAGAUAUUAUAGUAUAUGUGAGGAUAUAUAUGAAAUGAAAUUAAGUAUAAAAUUGAUUUUUAGAAUUAGAUUUCAAAAGGCUAUUUGUUUCUUAUCUAUUAAAAUCUGCUCUAUGAUGGAAUAAUUUUACCAGAAGUGAUUUAAAAAAAAAAUUACCAAACAUCAAAACUAAUUUUUAACUUUUAAAAUUAUUUUUAAGACUUAAAAAUAAUCUCAAAAGUCCCUAACUCUCUUCGGGAUUACAACCUUUAUACGCUAUUAUUUCUUAUCCUAGCAAGUAUUGUUUAUUAUGUACUUAAAUAAGACACAUCUAACUAAGAGAGGAAAAAAGGGUGGAGAAAAAAAUUCAAAGAUCACUUCUUGUCCUCAUCAUUUUUCAAUUUGAGGACCACCACAACAUAAUUCAGAAUAAGGGUGGGUUUAUUGUCUAGUAUUGCUCCUAUCCUUAAAAAAGAACUAAUGAUUAUGCUGAUAAUAAUAAUAAAAGGAGAAGAAUAAGCCGCCAAAUUCAAUUUAGAGCUAAUAACUUUUUGAGUACUUACAACAACAAAUAAUCUCACUUCGAAAUCACUAAUUUGAGACCUUAAAAUAGCUAAUGCUACAAGGCAGAGGGAAAGAAAUGUUCCUAAAGACAGUCUCAAGUAAGGGGAGUGGAGAUUCGGGAAAAGAAACUUGAAAAAGAUGGUCAGUCUGGAACCACAAACACCGUGUUUGUCAGGUAAUUGGAGAGGACUAGACUAAAAUCAAUCAGGCCCAAAUUCUCUUCAUCUAUCAGGUCUUAGCUCAUCUCACAUCAUUUCAUCUUGUCAAAAAUCCCUCCCAAGUUGUCAUAUGAUCCUUGUUAAUUUAUUAUGUUCUCAAUGGUGGCUUCAUUUCUAGCAGUAAUAAAACAAUUCACAGAAAUUACAAAUUUUAGAUCACAAUAUUCUUUUUUGUACAGAUCUAAGGCAAAUAGGCAACCUUACUCCUAGUAGUUAAAGUUUAGAUUUUCCCCCAUCUCCCCAGCCUUCAUAUGUUUUAUUUGUCUCAAAAUUGCUGUGUUUCAUUUUGAAAUCCGAGCUUUACUAGACCAUUCCACCAGCUCAACAUAAAGCCUAACAUAAGUUUUUCUCCAUCAGUACUUUGGGCAUAUGCUAGAAAACAUGUCUAAUGUGUACGGCAUAGAAAAGUUAUCAGAAAAUGAGAGAAAAUAUUUCCCAAUACCAUUCUACAAUAAGUUCUUAUAAAUAAAAACCAUUGGAUGAGCUCAAUAUGAUAUUCGUUGUAAUAACCAACACCAAUUUAAGAAACGGUGUAGCAAAAUGAAAUUUUUAAAUAUACUACAUCAUUUAUACAAAAGUAGUCGAAUAAACAACAGUAAAUAUUGUAUUCCAAAAAUAUCUCUGUAAAAUAACUUAUUUCCUAAACUAUAAAAUAUAAUCCUCUUUUUUUGUUUUAAUUUACAAAGACAUAAAUGUCAAAUAACCAAAUUUAAGAUAUUUUUUAUUGUAAAAACAAACAAGAUGCCACUUAUAUUCAAAUAUUUAAAAGAAAAACAAACAUGUUAUUCAAAAUUUCGUAUUCAGACCCAUUCAGACUUUAAAAAAAUUAAGACUCAUUUAGAUUUCAGACAAAAAAACAAACGCUACCUAAGAAUCUACUCCGACCUCUUUUUUCUUAACCCUUCCCUUGAUAUAUAACAUAAUUACAUUUAUUAAAAUAAAAUAACGUUACAUUUAUUCAAAUAAUAUUAUUACAUUAUUUAAUAAUAUCACAUUUAUUAAAUAUUAUUAUUUACAUUACUUCUAAGUUAAAAUUACUUAAAAAUAAUAUGAUUAUAUUUAUUUAAAAUCAAUAAUUUACAACAAUUACAUAAUUAAGAAUAUUAAUAAUAAUUAUUAACUUAUAUGAUUAAAAUUAAUAAUAAAGUAAAUAGUUAAUUUUGGAAAUAUUUUUUAUUCACUUUGUAAUUAAAAAACUAUAAUUUUUUAAAUAAGGGCAAAGUUGUAAUUUAAAAUAAUUCAGUCAUAAUUUAAGAUAAAGUAAAUAUAUAAAUGAGAUUAUAAUUCCUAUUUCACACUUUCAUUCAGUAUAAGUAAACAAUACACCCUCACUCCCACUUCACAUUCUCAAUCCCAAGGUUCUCACUCCUUCAGAUUCCCAAUCUAAUUCAAAAAGUAAACGCUACCUUAUAUUUAAUGAUUUGUGUCUAAGGAAUAUAGAUAUUAAUCUUUUUUUUUUUUUACUUUUUUGUCAAAACCAAAUUCUAGCCAACAUAAAAAAAAAAUUAUGAAAUUAAUUAUUUUUUAUUGCAUGGAUACCCUCGAUUCUAUGAUUUUUGUUGGUUAUAAUUGCAAGAAAUUAAUGCAAAAUUUUCAAAUAACAAAGCAAACAAACAACAAAAAAUUUUAAGUAAACAGGGGUUUAGGAUGCGGUGAGUGUCAGAUAGUAUGACUGAAAUGAUUACUUAUUCCUUUUGAUAAUUUCAAAAGAAAUAAAAUCGUAAUUUAGAAAAAAAAAUUAAAAGGUUGUUAAAAGAUGAAAAAAAUGGAGUGCCCGUAGCCCCGCUAAAAUAAUAAUAAUAAUAAUCAAAAGCCCAAAUAGCAAGGCCUUUGAGCUUAGAGAGUAAAUAUAUUCAGGCUCUUUUGACAAGAAACCUCGAUUGGCUUGAUUGGGCCGGCCGAACCGGUCCAAUAAAGUUAAAGCUUGAGUGCGGAUAUCUUUUUGGUUGGUACUGCAGUGGCCUUGAGCUUGGGCAUUGGAGCAACAUUACCUAUUGAAAAAUCUUUAAUUUUAGGUCUUUUUAAAUUGAUUCAAUUGUAAAAUAUUAUGACGCGUGUAUCUAGGAAGUAGUCACUUCAAAGUCAAAGUGAAUUCUCCUUAGAUAUUUCUAUUCAAUUUAAUUCCAGUCUAAAUAUAUAGACAGGUUUAAAGGUGCAAAAUGGAGAUAAAAUUUACUCUGUUUCUUUACUGUAAAAGACAAACGUUGACCAUGCAAUUUUUCUUCUCCACGAUAUUUGCUGGUAGCUAAUUAAUUAUCCAUGGUCCCGGAUUUCAUUUUUUUGGGAAGGAUUUUGAAUUCCUUGAAGCCUCCCCAUUUGAACAACUCGAUCAGGACACUCUCGACUUUUAGUUUCAAAGUUUUGGUCAGCAAACGGAACUUAGAAAACGAAAGUCUUUGUGUGGGGUAGUCUUACAAUCGAACUCGACAUUUGGUAGGUAGAGAGACCUCAUGAUAGGAUUAUGGGAUCCACCAAACCUGUCAAAUAAUAUGUUGUGAUUGUUAAAGUGCAUUAUUUUAACAUGUUUAAAUGAACAAUAUAAUAACUAAAUAAAACAGCACAAGUAAGAUAAUGAUACUUUAUUGAUCGCUAAAAUACGUUCAAUUAAAAAGCAGAUAAAAACCACGAUAAGAAUAGAUAACGAUCGAGUCCAAACACCUCUACGAUGAUAAAUUCAAGAGAAAUGAAAAAAAAAUACAAAAUAAGUAAUUUUAUUAAAUAAGAUAAUUGACAAACUCUUUGAGAUUACAACAUAUUUAGUGGAAUAUUUUUUACGUACUCGAAUAAGACUCAUAAUCUUAUCCUACAUCUUUUUCCAAUUUGAGGGCCACCGAAACAUAGUUGAGAAUUUACGUGGCCCGAAUGAGUAGUAGUUUGGUGUUGCAGCGUAAUUCCCAUCCAAUAUGCUGAUAUUUAGAAUAACUAAUAAAAAAAAAAUGCUCGCAAAUUUUAUAUGUGCCUGGCGAAUAACUUACAAGUGCUUUCAACAUCAAUAUCUGUCAAGAGUCGCGCGAAUUAAAACCUGGGUCCAAAAACGACAGCGUAUCAGCCUUAUCUGUGUUUAAAUUAGUCAUAUGCAACUCGCGUGACUCAUGAUUCAAUUCGCAAGCAUCAACACAUGUUUAUUUCAAGCGUUUUGGUGGCUGAUUAAGUGAGACUCGUGAGCAAUGCCUGAGAAGCUUAAGCAGAGGUCGUUAAAACCGUUAUGAUACGUGGCAGCAAUCUGUGCAUUCUGGGUUUAUAAGUCGCAGCUGAUUCCGAUUUAAAAGCUGGUCGUUGGGAGGGUUUUGGGCUCAUGUGUAAAGUGCUAUAGAGAGAUAUUGUAGAGAGAGAAACUUGUAUUUUUGUUCUCUGUAAUCAAUUCUAAAAAACCUUUUAAUUCUCCAUUGAAUUAAUUAAGAAGCUGAUCGAGUUCAUCCCCGUGGAUACAGGUCACUGAGAAGUGGGUGACCUUGUAAUAUUGUGCGUCUCCGUUUGAUCUUUGGCUUGUAUUGCAGUUCAUUUGAUUCUUGUGCGUUGAUAUAAGUUCUUGAUAGAUUGAGUCCAUUGAUUUCAAUGAUCCCAUUCAGAUUCACAUUAGUUUGCAUCUUAAUUGAUCUCUGUCAAGAUCUUGGGCAGUAGUUAAAAUUGUUUAGUUAUUUUGGCAUUCUGGUUACUACAAAAUCUGACGCAAUCCAUUGAUUUGUUUAUUCAUUCAUUUUUAAAUACAUUGAGAAUUUUUUAAAUUAUGUAGACUUUCUAAUUCCUUGAUAAUCACGGUGUUUGUGGUCCCUGACUAAUCAUUUGUGUCAAGUUCUCUUUCCGUGUUCAGUACUUGACGUAUAUUUAAAAAUUGCAUGAGGCAAUUGGUUUUGUGAAUUACUGCAAUUUGUCACAAAUCUAUAAUAAAUUGACUAAUGAUGUCACUUAUUCCAGAUGAACAAUAUAAAAUGUUAUUCUUUGAACUGAUAUAGCUACUGAAUGAUUGUCUGCUGUAUUGAACAUUAGAUUAUUUGCCUUCAAAUACCAAAUAAAUAAAUAAAUAGAGAAGGGAAAUAUGUCUUCAAAGGUAGCAUGUAAUGAGCCAUUUAGAGUUAUCAGCAGAACAGAUAUGCUGCCGUAAACAUGCAGAAUUAUAUUGCAUUAUACAGUUCCUCACUUGCUUUAGAAAGUUUAAAACUGGAGAAAAUAGAGAAAUCAAACAAAGAAGCAAAAUAAUCGAUGCUGCCCAGAUAGAUGACUAUCGAGGAUAGAUUAAUGAAACAGUUACAUCAUUCACAGAAUGAAACUGGGACGUUCCACUACUGGAAUGAGAUGAAUUAUUCAUGUUUUUACUGUUUGUAAAAGCAGGUUCUUUGGGAGAAGGUAAAUUAAGAUGCUCACUCUCAAUCAUCGAGAUAACAUCCGACAUGAUUGGUCUAUCAGCUGCAUUCUCUUGAACGCAGAGAAGAGCCACGUUUAUGUAUCUAAUCAGCAUUGGCAAUGAUACUUCAUCUUGCUUUAUUACUGGAUCCAUCAAUUCAUGAGCUCUGUCAUCUUUCCAUAAGCCCCAAGCCUGAAAAGAAAUGUCCACGAUCAAUAUUAGUUUAAUUUACAGAAGCAAUUUUUGACUUUUCCAAUUUAUAUUUUACUCAUUAAAGAUGGAACAUAAGUGAAACAAUUUGUCACUUACAUAUCCAAGAAGGUUAGAGGAAUCACUAUUGUAGACGCCAGUGUUCCUCUUGCUACUCAAUGUUUCCAACAUUAAUACUCCAAAACUAAACACGUCUGAUUUGAUGGAGUACAGGCCUUCCAGGGCAUACUCAGGUGACAUGUAACCACUAAAUUUCCAUUGUUUCAAUUAAUAUUGAGUGAUCUAAGAAAACAGGACAAGCAAACAUCAUUUUUCAGGAAUGGAGUUUUACUUACUAAGUUCCAACAAUCCGUUUAGUAUUUCCCUCCAACUCAUCACCACCAAAUAUUCCUGCCAUGCCAAAAUCUGAUAUUUUGGGGUUCAUGUCACUAUCUAAGAGAAUAUUACUUGCUUUAAGAUCUCUGUGAAUAAUUCUUAGUCUAGAAUACUGAUGAAGAUAUAAUAGCCCUUGAGCAAUUCCUUCAAUGAUUCUAACGCGUGCUUGCCAACCUAACAGGCGCUUUUUCUUUGGAUCUGUUGCAAUGCCAAAAUGAAUACUGAUCAGCGUAAAUGAUAACAAGUUAAAAACAUGGAGAUAAUAAAAUUCGACAGAGCACUGGAAAGUAGUGGAAAUACUUAAAUCUUGUGAAUGAUAAGUCACAUACCGAAAAGGAAAACAUCCAAGCUUUUGUUAGGCAUGUACUCAUAGAUUAAAAUGUUUUCGCCUUGUUCUAUACAGCAACCAAAGAGUCUGACAAGGUGUCUGUAAUGGAGUUUUGCUAUAAUCAUUAUCUCAUUUUAACGGCAACUUCUUGUCCAUUAAGUAGUCGACCCUGCAUUUUUUUAUUUUGUUAAUGUUUUACAGCAGCAGCACUUCAUUAAGGACAUUUGAGGUAGCAACAAUUCUACCUUGUAAACAGGGCCAAAGCCACCUUCUCCAAGCUUACAUUGCGUAGAAAAGUUUUCUGUAGCAGCAGAUACACUGGCCAAGCUGAAUAAUGGCAACCAAGAAUCCUUGCUCUUAUCAUUUCCUUCUCCAUCUGCUUCACAGAGUUCAUUUGUUCUUGUUGUAAUGCUCAUAUUUAUGUCAAAUGCUAACAGAUCCCAGUUUGCUUCCAUAUUCUCUGUUUCGGUAUGACUAACAACUUUUAAAAUUGUAAUUAUACAUGCUUUAUCACAUGCCUUAUCAUAUGAAAAUAUCACCGAGUGAUAUGAAGGGAAAAAAUUUACCUUUCUCUUUGUGUUUUCUCCUCCUUCGUCGAAAUAUGUAAAAAGAAGGAAGAAGUACCACCGGAAGAACAAGUACUACAAUUAUCCAGAGUAGUUUCUUGUUUCCUACAUCCAGAAACAUACAUGUUAUCAAAGAAAUCAAACGAAUUGCAGAUAAACAUGUUAUCAAGCUGAGCCAGAUAACUUAAUUACUUAAGCUACUUCUGACCUAUGUUGGUUUCUUUGUUUGUUAGCUUUGUUCAUCUGUUCUUUCACAAAUUAAUUCCUUAAACUCUUGGCUUAGCUUUUAGGAUGAAGCCUUACUAUGACAAACAAUUGGAGAAGUUUUGCUACAUCAACUUCCAUAAUGAAAAAAGUUGAUUCCAGAAUGCAAAAACUGUACCUUGUUCUGGAGCGGGCACUCGUAUGUAGACAGACUGUCCGGUGAAGUUGCUAAUUGGCUUUCUGAGAUCAAUCAGAUCCCCAAACCACAUUAAACAGCCACUGCCUCCUCCUGUUAGUUUGGAAUUGGCAUAAGCUCUACAGGAACAGUUCUUCAAGCACUUAGCCUGACAUUGAUUCAAAUUCAUACUGUCAUUUAGGGAAACCUCUAGCAAAUCAGGCGCUUUAAAGUCAUCAAGCUUUAUAAACUGGUCUCCACUUUUGCAAUCUGAAGAUCUUUCACAUUUUCUGGGCCAAGUCUGGUUGUUUUGUGAUUUGAGUUUGAAUCCCCUCAAACACUGACAGAUAGGUGUCUGGUCCAGGCUGCAAAUACUGUUGGGACCACAAUGCCCAUAAUUACCACAAUAUCCAUCUGGAACUGAGAAAACAAGGUCCCACGCAGUGCUCCUCUCGUUCCAUAUUAGACGCGUGAGCAGACCCGAGGGGUUGACUGUUAAGAUCAUUAUGUUUGGACUGUUAUAGGACUCAUACCUGAAAGAAAUUUCAUCUUUAUUUUCCACCAAAACUUGAUCAUAAAGAAAGUUUGAAUAUGGAGCAGCUACAAAGGCAGCUCCAUUCCAUUGUCCGGUACAGGUAUAUUUUGCAGAACCAUUGAACGUGCAUAAUUUAGGCGACACCUGAAUGUCAAGUCCGAAGGUAAACUUCCCAGGGGAUGGAUCGUCAGCACUUUCCCAUGAUGAUAAAUAUCGUUUCAGACCAGUCUUCAAGUCCCAGCCCAACUUCAUGUCUGGUAACAGAGUGUCUGUUAAGUAGUCGAAGCUCUGCCACAAGUAGCUUUCAGUAGUAUGACUGCUGGAGUUAUCCGUAAUAACGAGGUUUCCAUUAUCUAAGAGUCUUGCCACUGGAUUUUUCACUUGUCUAGAUACGUUUGUAGACCAGAUAGUGCCGUUUGUUUGGUUGAGAAGAACGAGAUUUCCAUUGUUGCCAAUGGUUAAUACUGCGUUAUGAUCGGAGAUAGGACUAUUUCUAUUGGCAACCCAUAAAACCGUAUCAGGGAUCUUCUGGUACCAUAGUCCCACGUACCUGUUCUUUGAUUUUCCAGGGGAGAAAAAGCCUAGCUCAAACCUUUGAGAAGAUGAAACUAACUUCUCGCCGUCACGGAUGAACGAUGCUGGGGUUAGUGUAUCAGCUGCUAAUGAAACCUUUAUGCCCAACAAGAAGAUCAAAGAACGAAAGAUGUUGAAGCAUGGACGAUUCUCCAUUCAUAAAACAGAGAAGAAAAAUCUCUAAUAAUUGUUUUGAGAUCGGGUUCAUUUCAAUUUAUGAAAACAAAAGUCUCGGUCAGCUGUGAAACAAACAAGUCUGUUUCUUGACCUCAAUUCUCAUGAUGUUAACUUUUGAAGUCUUGUAAACUUUCCAAAACGCUGAGUAUGGGUGGAAAAAUACGUUUGUGUUUAAUGAUAAAAAAAAUAAAUUAUUGCCAGAUUUUCUAUUUCUUUGUCCUUGUCGUAAGCAAUUUUAUAAGUUAGUUUGAAAUUUUGAAAUACUUUAUCAUUCGAUUAUUGACUUUCCAGAGAAAGGAUAUUCGAGCCUUUCGUUCGGUUCCUAUAGCGUCUAAUGAUCUACAAUUAAUUGUGUUUUUCAUGUAGUUGCUGACAUAAUCUCCCCAUCAUCAUUCCUGAUAAUAGCCCCCAAGCUUGUAAUCUUUUUCAAUAUUAAUUUCAGGACGUUGAUGGAGCCUUCUGAGGACUUAUCUCACAAUUCUUCCCAAAAAAAUAAACAAAUUUAAUAUUUAAGUCUAAGCUAAUAAAAAUUGAUUUAAAGCACCUACUACACUAAAACUACUCUAUAAUUAUAAUAUAGGGACCAAAUUAAUUUUAUUACUGAGGUUAUAGCUUAAAAAAGUGUAGUUAUAAGAUUAUUGUUUUAGCUUAGUUAUCAUUAGUAUAAAUAAUACAGGAUAAAGUAUAUACUACACUAAUGGUUAAAAAAUAGAGCUUGUCAUAUUCAUUAUAUAGACAAGUGGUUUGAUUUCUUUGGUUUAUUCAAUGCAUGUGGAAAUGGUGGUUCAGGUGGAACACUAGUUACUUCUUCACUAGGUGUAAGUUCAUUAAGUCCUUCCUUACCCUUUGAAUUUUCAUUAUUUUCAUAAGGUUUAGGCAUAGGUCUAUCAACAACCUUACCACUACGAAAAGUUAUAACUGACUUGACUUGGUCUGUGGGUGGAUUUUGUUAAAUUUUAGGAUUUGAUUGUGGUUGGGCUGGAAAUUUUCGUUUUCUUGAAUGGUGAGUGCAGAAGCAAUUUUAGCAAGAGUAUCUUUCAAAUUAGAAAAAGUUUGUGCAUUUUGAUUGUUAAUAACAUCUUGCUUUCUGAUGAAUGAAUGCAUUGUGUCUUCCAGAUUUUUCCAGGGUGGUGGAACAUAUGGUGCAUAAGGCUGAGGAUUUGAUGAAUGAAUGGGAGGUGGUGCUUGUGAAGAUUGUGCAUUAUUAUUAUUCCUCCAACUGAAAUUCAUUUUGAUUAUUAAUAACAUCUUGCUUUUUGAUGAAUGAAUGCAUUGUGUCUUCCAGAUUUUUCCAAGGUGGUGGAACAUAUGGUGCAUAAGGUUGAGGAUUUUGAAAAUUUUUCUCCAACCAUGCUUGUGAAGAUUGUGCAUUAUUAUUAUUCCUCCAACUGAAAUUCGGAUGAUUUCUCCAACCAGGAUUAUAAGUCUGUGAAUAUGGGUUUGGUUUAUUGAAAGUGUUAAUGACAUUAGCUUGAUCAUUUAGACAUUCUUUAAGUGCAGGCAAAGUGGGACACUCUUGAGUGAAAUGAUCAUUCGAAUUACAUAUGUUACAUGCAAUUUCUUGAACAGAUUUUACUUGAUAACUCUUUUUAUGCUCCAAAGCUUCAACUUUCCUAACUAGGGAUGCAAAUUUUGCUUGUAAAUCAUGAUCUUCCCUAAGGUUAUGGAUUCCUCCACUAGAUGGAGAUGAUUGUUGCUUAUUUGUCAAUUCAAAAGUUCCAACAGUAUCCCAAUGUUGUGCAUUUUCAGUUAAUUGGUCAAGGUAAUCUAGUGCAUCUUCAGGAUUUUUAUCCUUAAAUUCACCAUUACACAUCAUUUCAACAAACUGUCUACUUUGGGGUAUUAAACCCUCGUAGAAAUAAGUGACCAAUCGCCAAGUUUCAAAACCAUGAUGUGGGCAUAUGUUAAGCAACUCUUUAAACCUAUCCCAACAUUGGUAUAAUAUUUCUCCAUUUUUUUGAGUGAAAGAAGUGAUUUGCCUUUUAAAAAAAUUUGUUCUAUGAGGUGGAAAGAAUUUUUUCAAAAACUGUUCUUGCAUGUUAUUCCAAGUUCUUACUGAUCCAGAUCUAAGGUUUUGUAGCCAAGUUUUAGCUUUAUCUUUUAAUGAAAAAGGAAAAAGCUUUAAUCUAAUUAUGUUCAUGCUACAAUUUUGGUCCGUGUAUGUAUUACAAACUUCCUCAAAAUCUCUUAGAUGCAAGUACGGAUUCUCAGAUUCUAAACCAUGAAAUGUUGGUAAAAGUUGGAUAAUACCUGGUUUAAAGUUGAAUCGAGAUGCUUCUGGAGGAAAUACUAUACACGACGGUGCUCCGGUUCUGGUUGGAUUCAUGUAGUCUCUCAGAGUUCUUGGUUGAUUCUGAUCAUGCCCAUGUUGAGAUUGGUUGUCUCCCUGAUCAAUUUGAGGGUUAAGUUCGCCCAAAACGUUUUCGCCUUGAUUCUCAUGCAAUGGUUAUGUUAUAAAGAUAAUAUUUACACAAAUUGAUAACAAAAUAAAAUAAAAAAAUAAAUAAGCAAAUAAUAUAAGUGUACGAAAGAAAAUUAAAUAACAAUUUUGGUGGUUGAACCCACCAAUAAAGUAAAAAAUUUACAAAAAGAAAAAUGGUCAUACCAUAUAAUUUUUGAUGAUAUUAAUGUUCAUAAUGAUAUUAGAAUAUACAUAAACACUAAAUUUUUAUUAUGUGUGAAAUAGUUUCAUGUUAUAUUUAAUCAUUUUAUAUAUUGCUGACAUUAAAGUUCGGCUCAACAUUGUGAUUGGGUUUUUAUAGAGAUCAAGAUAGGAACUAUCCUCGGCGUGGUGCUAUAAGACUUCAACAAAUCGGGUAUGAUGGCCUACAAGACAGUGAAAACAACAAAGUAAGGGUGCCAUGAUUGUUGCCAGUGAAGACCUUCUGAUGCUUAAGCCUGAAACCAAGUGGUUAGAUGAUAAUUGCAAGAGAGUUCUAAAUAGAAAAAGAGAGAGCUCUGGUAUUGUUUUUUUACUUGAGAAUCCAAAAUACUUACAUUGUGGGCUGAUGCCCUUUUAUUGACAAAUCUUACAAAAUUCACAUAGUAUUUGGAAUGCUUGGUAAGGUAGCAUAUACCAUAACUAUUGUCGUAUUUGGUUUACACUAUCGACAUGUAAUGGUUAGAAAAAUAAGGUAUAAUAAGGAGUCCUUUUAUUUCACCUGUGCUAGAAAUAGGACAAGAGAACUUAUGAAGAUAGUAUAACAUAAGAUUAUAAUUGGGUAAUCGUAACAACUCUAAUAUAUAUGCAAGGUAUAAGGACAUUAGAUAUUUGAGGAUAAGAUCAAAGUCAAACAUGUAUGAAAUAAUAAUGUUAAAAAUUUUCUUGGAAAUGUGCACUCAUUAAUAGGAUAUGACGUGCACAUGUGCAGCGAAUAGGCAUGUUCCGUCAUCAUCGACUACGUGGCAAGAUCUUAAACACUAGCAGAUAAUCGUACACCUAGUGAAAAAUGGAGGGAAGUAACCGAAAAGCGCCAAUUGAGUGAGUAAUUCAACCGGCAAUAGUAGAUAUUGUGUUUGAAAUGGUUAGGGAUUUUAUUAGAAACUUAAAGCAAUUUGAAAAUUAAAAUGACGAAGGAAAAGGGGAAGAGCGACAAAGGAAUCAGAAGAGAAAAUAAUCUAGUAAGGUAAUAAUAGUAGAAAGUAAAAAAGAAAAAGAAAGGAAAUCUGAAAAAGGAUCAACUAGUCUGUUUCCCUAAGUCAUUCCUCUAUUUUACCGUUCAUCCUCUAUUGUUGAUUUUAUUUUUUUCUUUGUUUAGAAUUUAUAUGAAUAAUGUUGAUAAACUAAAGUUUUGAAUAGGUAUAGUUAUUAAAGUGUGUUGGUUUGAUGUUUCUAAGGAAAACAUGACCAUUUCUUUGAUAUGUGUCCAUAUAACAAGCAAUAACCAAUAAAGCUUCCCACGUACUUUGACCAUGCUUGGAUAUAGUUUUUAGUUUAGUUUUGAAAAUAAAUGGGUACUUGACAUAUGGUUUGCUAACUACGAGUGCAAUAUUGCCCCCCUUUCUUAUUAUUAUGUGUUCCAUGCAUUACUGCUUUAUGUGCAUCUUUUGUUGUUUAUAGGUAGUUAGUAAUGUGAAUCAUGUGCUCCCAUUGGCUUUUAUAAAAAGCCUAAUAGUUGUUUGAAUAAAGUAUCAAAAGAACUAUUGUCCACAAAGCGAUUCUUUUCUUUAAAUUUCUUUUCCUUUUUUAGUUAUUGUUACGUUAGUCCAUGCAAAUUAUUGAUCAAGUGUUAUUAGAGCAUCCAACGAUCCAUGGCCACACACAAUAAAUCUAAUUAUGAAUUUUGUGAAGAGGUUCAAGAAAUUCUUACAAUACAUGACUUUAAGUUUUGACCAAGUUUGCACCGCCCUAUAAACAAUCCUUACUAAACUUCAAUUUUUGUAUCUUCAACACACUUCCCAGGAUGGGGAAAUCAACAAGCAAGAUGAAUAACAUGUAAAGUGCCUUUGAGUUGAUGGCAACUGGAUGGCAUAGUUAGCAAGCACAUAUGGUGCAAUCAAUAAUUCCCUCAUUUACGUUCGCCACUGCUCACAUUCUCUUACACCAACCAAUCUUAUUUUACACCUCCAAUCUAGAUCAGUCCCAUACCCAACUUAAACUUUCUUUCCCAAAGUUUAGUGAUGACAACCCAACUAGAUGGAUUUACAAAGUCUACCAACACUUUGAUUUCCAAAACUUUGCUUCGAAAUAGCAAGUCUAAUUGGUCUUUUUUCAUCUUGAAAGAGUAACACUCCAUUGGCAUCGAUGGUUAACCAAGUUCAAAGGACUUGAGACUUAGACUGAGUUUACUAAAGAUGUCUUACUUCGCUUUGGUCCAACGGAUUAUGAGAAUCCUUUUGAAGCUUUAACACACCUAAAACAAACUUUCUUAGUGGCCGAGUAUCAGGAAUUUUUUUAAAUGCUUUCUUAUCAAAUGGAUGGCUUGCCUGAAACUAUUUUAUUUGGUCGUUUUGUUAUAGGCUUGCAUGAUGAGAUACGACUAGAUGUCACUAUUAAAUAGUCCUGUACCUUGGCUGACAUCAUUAAUAUGGCAAGACAAAUUGAGGAGCGAAAUUUACUUUACAAAUGCAGUAGUCACUUUUUCUCGACCAACAUUAAUAUCUAUGCUAUGGCAGCCAACCCUAACUAAUUUUACUAAGGUAUUGGCCCCUAAGGCUAAGGACACAAUAUGUGCCAAUGCUUCUCCUCUUAUUUGGUGAUUGUCUAACCAACAAGCACGAUCUCGCCGAUUGUGCUAUUAUUAUGAUGAGAAAUUAUUUUCAGCCCACCAUUAUUAAAGGCAUAACUUUUCAUGAUUGAAGACCCUCCGUUGAUUGCCCCUUUUGAUACUCGCAAUCUAAAUAAAGACCUACCUUUGACAAAAACGCUGACUGGAAUUUCUUUCCACAUCAUUGCUGGCAUAACUCGUCCAAAAACCCUUCAUUUUAUAAGAAAAUUGUAGAAUAAGGUUGUGACAAUCCUCAUCGAUGGUGGUAGUACCCCUAACUUCAUUGACCAAGUAGUAAUGACAAAAUUUAGUCUUUUAGUUAUAUGUGAUCAACUACUCCAAAUGAUCAAAAGAUAUGAGGAAAUCUCAAAUGUCAUAAGGACAAAUUGAAUGAUAUGUCGAGAUCUUAAAUGUCAUGAGAUGGGCCUCAAAAUUAAAAUAAGGCCUCGACAAAUGCUAGGUAUCUUGUAUUCGAGCCACAACAAGGGCCAUAAUAAUCAAGGUCGGGCCGCGACAAGAAACAAAAUAAUUGAGAUCGGGCCAUAGAUGAGGGCUAAUAUAAUUAUAAUUGGGUCGUAGAUGAGGGCCAAAAUAAUUAAGAUCAAGCCAUAGUAAAGGACAAAAUAAUUAUCAUUUGGCUGAGAUAUUAGGAACCUUUAGAAUGCCAUGAAGAUAACUUGAAUAACAGGAGGAGUACUUAAAUAUUAUGAGGUCAUGAGCCUGAGGUCGAGGCAAAAAUGAUGAGGCUAAACUAAGUGUUGUGAGAUUGAGGCUUAUGAGUAUGAAGUCGAGCAAAAUCAUGUAAUGAAGCUUAAAGAUGAGGCAAGCAUGGCAAAACCAUAAAUUAAAACAAUAAAGGGGUAAGAUUAUAAUUUUGGGAUUUUAAAGUUUUACUUAGCCGACCAUGGUAGUUGGAAAUCAAACGGUUGUGGCUAAGAUAGAAUCUUCAGCUUGCAUGGAGCCUAAUGGUAGUGGCAGUUUGCACUGAAGUUGUCAUGACUCAAUCCAGACCUGGCAAUAUAUUGUCCGCUUUGGGACUUAAUAGAGCCCGUACGGUUUGGUUCCUGGGGCGCCUAUACACCUUAAAACAUAUCUUUACCAAUUAAGGUAUGGAUCACCCCUAAUAAACCUAGAAUCUCUCCCUGUGCUUUGUUGAUGUGGGAUUCGCCUAGUGUGUUACAUACACCCUCUUAGGGACUCAGCGUCCUUAUUGAGGUUUGCUCCACUAUCGUUCAAGGGGACACGCGGAGCUGCUCUGAUACUAUUUGUCAUGACCCAACCUAGACUUGACAAAAUAUUGUCUGCUUUGCGCCUAAAUAAGUCCCGCACAGUUUUAUUCCUGAGGCGCCCAUAAACCCCAAAUCGUGUCUUGCCAAUUAAGGUGUUGAUCACCCCCUUAGGAACUCAGCGUCCUCGCUGAGGUUUGCCCCAUCAUCGCUUAAGAAGACACGCGGAGCCACUCUGAUACAAUCUUUCAUGACUCAACCUAGACUUGGCGAGAUAUUGUCCGCUUUGGGACUUAGCAAGGAAUGCACGGUUUUGUUCCUAGAGUGCCCAUACAACCCAAAACGCGUCUUCCCAAUUAAGGUGUGGAUCACCCUUUAUAAACCCAACAUCUAUAACUUGUUUUGUCGAUAUGGGAUUCGCCUAGGGUGUUACAUAUACCCGACCUUAGGGACUUAGCGUCCUCGUUGAGAUUUACCCCACUAUCGCUCACGAGGACACAUGGAGCCGCUCUGAUACCAUCUAUCAUGACCUAACUUAGACUUGGCAGGAUAUUGUCCGCUUUGGGCCUUAACAAGGCCCGCACGAUUUUGUUCAUAAAGCACCCAUACACACUAAAAAGCGUCUUGCCAAUUAAGAUAUGGAUCACCCUUUAUAAACCCAGCAUCUCUCCCUUACUUUGCCGAUGUGGGAUUCGCUUAGGGUCUUACAGACGUGCAGUUGGCGAUGACAAAUUGGGACCCUCAACUGCAUUUGGUUUUGAUGGCUGUGUACAACAAAUUUGAUGGCUUUUAGUUGUUGGUAGCAAUUAGAAAUUAAAGGAGAUGCAGCAAGGAACAAACCCCAAGUGGUUAGAGAGUUGCAGUCGCGCAUAUUUUAUUGGCAAAUCUGGAGGCUUUUGGACGACGGUGAUGGUUGGAAUUUGAAGGUCUUCUGCUAGGAGCAAAACUUAGGUGUGACGGGUCAAAAAAUCUGCAUCAGAUUGCGACAAUAAUUUUGCAAAAAUUGUAGCUUCUUAUGGUUGUUACUGGCCAUUUUUCAGCGGCAGUGUAAGUGAUGUCUUGCUCGGUGAUUCUUUGAGGGUUUCAAUAGUGGUCCUUAGAGAUUGAAUAUGUAGUAUUUUGGCUGCUGUUAGUGGUGGCUUGAUUUCUUUCGGGUUUAUCCAACCCAUUUUCUUUCUUUCUUGAUUCGUGAUAGUUGUUUUUGUUGUUUAUUUAUCCUUAACGAUUGAGCUAUUUAGACUUUUUGGUCGUUGCCCAAAGACAUGCCAACUGUUACAUACUAAAAUUUGGCUUAACAAUAAGAGUUGAGAAAGAGUUCGUUUACUCGGGAUAUAUACUGUGUUGGAGUUUGAUGUCCUCAACAUAAAGAGCUUGGUGGUCGGAGUCCUACAGAAUAAUAACUCAUCAGAGCUUGCUAAGGGUGUUACCGACAUAAACUCUCUGAUGUUUAAGUCAGAGAUCGAGAGUAGAACAAUAACAAAUAAGUAAUAAAAGAAGAGAAAGUCAGUAAGAGAAAAAGCUUAUAGGAUAUUGUACCUCCUCCUCCAAUAUGCAUAUUUUGCAUACCUUACCUUUUUUUUAUAUACUUUCGAGUGGUGACCUUUUAUAUAAGAGAAAAUAGUCAGAAAUAUAAUUAAUUAGUAAACUUUAUCUCCUGUUUUCUAGGAUUUGAGUUUGAUGAGGAUUAUGACUUAUAUUAUUUUAUCUUAUUUAGAUUAGGACAUGCAAUUGGACGUUGAUCUUUGAGCUUGGGUUUGAUUAAAAAUAUGGGUAUAACAGUAGAUAUUCACAAGAUAUCUGCACAAAAUCCUUGGGUAGAGCUUUUGUAAAUGAAAGAGAUACUAUGACAGAUUUGAUAGACAGUAAAGCCGAAGUAGAUUCAGAAAGAACUAAGGAUUAUCUAAUUUUUAGGCAAAUAGACGCUAACAAAUUUAAUUUGGAUGAGGUUAGGUACACCACCUUAAAGGACAGAGGAUCGAGUGACCAUAAUAAGAGGAAAAAGAAAAGAAGAGUUAAACUUGACAUGAGCCCUGUAGCUAGAAUUCAACCUAUAGAGUAUGAUAUGGAUAAGAUGGAAUAGGUUCUUCAAGACAUGAUCUCAAGAUGAUUAGGGAGAAGUAUGACAUUUCUUGACUUGUAAGGAUGAAGUUACCAAAACAUGGUAAAAAACCAAGUACUCUCGUUAUGGUGCGGUAGCUAUUUGUUCAAAAUUAUUAGAUUGUGGAAUAAGACUACACAUGCAACCUUUGGAAAAAUGUCAGCUUCACUAGGCUUAGCUUCUUGUCGAUUGUUGUUAAAUGGGUGGAGAAUGUUAUGAGGUCUAUACGCAAUAUAAGCACGAGCAAUUUUACCUGAGCCCACAUUUCAGGAACUGAAAAGAUGAAUCAAAUUCAAGAGUAACUCGAAAGACCAUGAUAGCUAGUAUUAUUUGUCACCACGGCAAAAAAUAAAGAGAUUAGUCCCGAAUUUAUCGACUACUAACAAAGAUUUUAAGGAUAUGAGGUUUUUGAAUCUCAGAAGAAUGGGGUCAAUUCUCAGAAGAUCCAAUGAAUGGAGUAGCAAUUACAUUUAAUACACAUACACACCCCUAUAUUUUUACUAAACUUGAGCUUAAUGUCACGGGCUGCUCAAAUUUUCCACCAACGGAGACUAAUUCUACGCGCACUGGUACAUUUAGUAAAAGUCCGCCUAAACAUGGAGUGCGCUUAGACGGGGGUUGUGCUUAGCACAAAAGGCAAGAUGCAUUUAGAAAUGGGAUGCGCUUAGAAAUGGGCCUCUAACACAAUUAGCCAACUAUGGUGCACUUAGCGAUUAUCCAAGCCGGGCCUGAAUUAUAGAGUUCUUUACAAUUGUAAAUAUCUUAGACUUUUCUAGAAUUGAGCAUUUAGGUCCUAGAGAUAUUUAUGUAAGUUGCAUGGAAGAUUCAAGAACUUAGCACCCAACACCUAUAAAUAUGGGUGUGCCCCCUCAUUUGCACACACACCACACACACACACACACACACACACACCCACCCACCAGUACACACACACCCACCCACCAGUACACACACAUUCUCGAUCAUGCUCUCAAGCGCUUUUGCAAAAGCUUUCUUGUAAAUUAUUUUAUAAUAAAAAUAUAUUUUGGCCAUAUUGCUCUCUUUUCACUAGCAUUUCUGCAAGCGUUCUUGCUUCUCUAGUUUGAGAAGAAUCUAAAGGCUUACUUAGCAACUUGUGUGCUAAAAGUCAUCUAAUUGCUGUAUGGGUUUGCUGCGCAAAACUCAUUUUCCGUGAGAAGUGGUAUCAGAGCUAAGGUUUGCACCCACACAAGCUAGCUCAACGAGCAACGGCCAACCCUCCGAGCACAACAUAAGAGGGCGUAGUCGGUGUGAAGGUACCGGAGCAAGUCUGUGGCAAUGAGGAGGGACGCACACAAGUUAAGUCCCAUGGCAAGUCCAAGGCUGCUUCUGUAAAUGCCUUAGAGCCUCACAUAACCACGCUUGAAACUUCGAUGUCCGCUAUCCAAGACACCCUCGAUACUUUGGAGGUGCGGGUUGAUGGUCUCGAGGGUGAGUAUAGUGAGUCCACAGUAGUCACCAAGGCCCUCAUACAAGAUUAAGCCGACUCACUUCGAGGGGAGUUUCGAGCCUUUCAUGAUGAGUUGCAAAAAUUACAUAGCUUCAUGCAAAGCGAGCUACGAGCGAUCCGUACAGAGGUCGAUGAAGUCUGCUCGAAUUGGGCUUGGCAUAAGCACACACUCUCCGCUAGCUUAGCUUCCACAAGCUCGAGUGAUGCAAGCCGAAUCGACGUGCCAAAAUCAGAUACGUGUGAUGGUGCAUGUAAUGCUACUGUCGUCGACAACUUCCUAUUUGGUUGAGAGCAAUACUUCGAUACCAUGGGUGUUCGUGACAAAGCAUCGAAGGUAGGCACCGCACCUACAUUCCUAUGAGGCACCGUACAACUAUGAUGGCGGUGGAAGCAUGGCGACAUGGGCAAGGGCAUUUGCGGAACCAAUACAGGGGCUGAGUUCCAACGAGAACUCUACAAGCACUUUGCCUCAAGCAGCGUGGAGAAGGAAGCUCGAGCGCGACUUCGUCGGCUCAAGCAAACCGGUAGUGUCGCGACUAUAUCAACGACUUCACUACCUUUACUCUUCAAAUUUUCGACAGGUCCGAUAAGGAUUCUCUCUUCUACUUCCAAGAUGGUCUCAAGGAUUGGGCUAAGGCAGAACCUGAUAGGCGUGGCAUACAAACUCUCGAUGACGCCAUCGCCGUUGUGGAAUCACUUGUUGAUUACUUCGCUUAACCCAAGAAGAAGAGGUCUAGCCAUGGUAAAGGUGGGGGAAAGGGCUGGAAGGACAAGGGCCACAACUUGAAGGAGUGGGGGUAGAAAAAGCCUCCAAACGGUAAGAGCGGGCAAAGUAAAUCAGAGAAAUAGUUGCCGCCCAAGCCUUGAAGCCCAUGCUCUAGUGGUUCGGCUCAAGGGCCAGUACACACUGAUUACGGAGGAACCCCAACACAGCAUGGGUUCACUCUAGCGCCUUGGCGCACUCGUGAGCCCACCGCCUGUACAUAUGAUGAAAGGGCUCAUAUACGAGAGUGUGCUUAUGAACGACCAUAUCGUUCGUGCACUCCUCGACACCGAAGCAACGCACAACUUCAUUUUCAAAGAAGAGGCCAAGUGUUUAGGCCUCAAAGCAACCCAAUAUGGAGGCACUAUAAAGGCAGUAAACUCAACGCCAAGCCAUUUGCAGGAAUAGCGCGAGGUGUGCACGUUACGCUUAGGACAUGGAACGGGAAACUCGAUUUAUCGAUAGUGCUGAUGGAUGACUUCAUAAUGAUCCUUGGCAUGGAAUUCUUUGACAAGGUCCAUGCUUUCCAUUUACCAGCCACGAACUCCCUAAGCAUCUUCGAUGGGAGUAAGACAUGUGUGGUACCAGCCGAGCGCGCCCAGCUCGAGAGAAAGACGCUCUCGGUCAUGCAAUACAUAAGAGGAUUAAAAAAGGAUCUCGACCACUUGUUCUCCAUCCGGUAACCCAAUAAGGGAGAGGAUUUCGUAAACCCUCUUGUCAAGUCCCACAAUAGGUACAAGUCGUCCAUGACAAGAUCAAGGACACUAUGCCUCUGGAACUUCCGAAGACACUCCCACCUCGACGAGAGACGGAUCAUGAGAGCUGGAAGCUUAACAACAAGGGAUGCCACUACGCCAUGCAAGAGAAGAAGAUGGUCGCAUGCAUCACAAGUGAAGGAACCUCCUCGAAAGUAAAGCCACAUAGGAAUGCAAUGAAGACCUAUGUCAAAUCGUAGAGCAUGUCCAAAAGUACAAGCACGAGAACGCGACGAGGACGCCGUGAGCAUAGGUGGGGGAGGAUUGUCACGGGCCGCUCAAAUUUGCCACCAACGGAGGCUAAUUCUGUGUGCACAGGUACAUUUAGCAAAAAUCCGCCUAGACAUGGAGUGCGCUUAGACGCGAGUUGUACUUAGCACAAAAGGCGGGAUGCACUUAGAAAUGGGAUGCGCUUAAAAAUGGGCAGCCAACACAACUAGCCAGCUAUGGUGCACUUAGCGAUGAUCCAAGCCGGGCCCAAAUUUUAGAGUUCUCUACAAUUGUAAAUAUCCUAGACUUUUCUAGCAUUGAGCAUUUAGGUCGUAGAGAUACUUAUCCAAGUUGCAUGGAAGAUUCAAGAACUUAGCACCCAACACCUAUAAAUAGGGGUGUGCCCCCUCAUUUGCACACACAUCACACCACACACACACACAUUCUCGAUCACACUCUCAAGCUCUCUUCUAAAUUAUUUUAGUGUGUAAUAAAAAUAUAUUUUGGCCAUAUUGCUUUCUUUUCUCUAACAUUUCCACAAGAGUUCUUGCUUCACUAGUUUGAAAAGAAUUACAAGGCUUAUUUAACGACUUGUGUGCUAGAAGUCAUCUAAGUACUGCACGGGUUUGUUGCGCAAAACUCUCAUCCCGUCACAUUAAGGAUUCAUAUCCAAUAACAUGUCCUAAUUUAAAUAGGAUAAAACAAUACAAGUCCUAUUCCUCAUCAAACUCAAAUCCUACAAGAUAAGAUAAAUUUUCUUAACUCAAUUAUACUUCUGACUAUUUUCUCUUAUAUAAAGAUAUCACCAUUCGAAAGUAUGUACAUCAAAGGUAGGGUAUGAGAAAUUGAAGAACUUGCAAGCGAAUGAACUCGUUCCUUUGCACGAGGUCAGACCAAUAUGGUUGGUUCAAAGGAGGUGGAAACGUAUAAGUUUCUCUCAAUGUUAUUAUAGUCUAAACAUUUGUUGAAAUUUGACCACAUGAUCGGGUUUUUGAUCUCAUGCAUAGGAGCAAUGUCAUUAGAAAUCUUGGGUAGGUUGAAGAAAAGGUUGUGUGAGAGGCAGCAAAAAAAUACUCAAGAGAUGGAGGCUGGAGGCAAGUUGUAAUUGCUAUUGGGGUUCCAACACAGAAAUCAUCCGUUGUAGCCUGCUCAACUGCAACGGUGCCCACCACUCUACUGAGCACACAGCCCAGUGAGAUGACAAUAAGACCAAGGCACACUCUCACUGAGGCGAAGAAGAAAGAAAAUGAAUAUCAGUUUGAGUAAACCCAUCAUGUGGUACAUUUUGCCGAAGCUUAAGUGAAUAGAGAAAAAGUAGAGGAGCUUAAUAAAUUGACUACUGUAGAUGCUUGGGAACGCUUGAUGAAUGAAUCGUGGUCAACAGGUAAAACUUACAACAUUUUUAAUAACCUUGCUUUAUUUUAAAUACCAUUCAACCCCAACCUUGAAGUUACUAACGACAAGAAAAUAAUGAUGUAAACUGCAUACACACUGCAGUUUACAGGUCUCUUCUAAGAAAAUGUUCGAGCUGAAAUUGUAAUAACUAUCAAUUUGCAUGGAAGCUAAAAAUUAUUAUAAUCUUACCAGGAUAAUUCAGAGAAAGUUUACAUGCAGAGAAAUGGAAAAAUAAAAUAUAAAAUACAAUACAAGAUCGUUUUGACGAUGCGGAUAAUUCAGAGAAAGAUUACAUGCUGAGAAAUGGAAAAAAAAAAAAACAAUACAACAUAAUUUUGACGAUGCAAUUAACACAAUGAAGAACUAGCAGAUGUCCAUCGCAAUGCUAAUGUGAUACAGAUUACAGAGGGGAAAAUGAUCCUCUUAUUUAUUUACCCAGUUUUGGCCUGAUUUCUAUACCUUGAAUAACGAGGCCACACUUCCAGUGACCACAGGCCAACUCCAAAACGCUCAUUUCCAGCUCACCAUCUUCAACAUCUUCUUCGUUGAAAAAAUCACCUAACUCGAUCUCCAACCACUCAUCUUUUCUCUCCUUAGGAAAAUAGCCAUCAUUUUCUUUAGGCGUUGAAGCCUGACUGCUGCUGCGAUUAAGUAAGCCAUGAUAACCUUGCCUUAGCCCUAUUUCUUCUUCCAAAUAAACAGUUCGUGUUUGGCUUUCACCACUGACUAGUCCAACACUCACAACUACAGGUUGAUAUUCAAACCCGAAGGAUCCUGCUGUUAGCUUGUACACAAGAUAUGCAGUGUAUAGUGUCCCUGGAGACAGACUACGAGUGCUAAUUUUGCCACGGAUUUCAAGCCAACAGACACAGAUAAGCUCAGCCACCUCCGGAAACCUAUUUUUGGAUAUAGCCAAUAUAUCUUUACUCAUCAGAAAAGAAUAAUACAUAAACAAACAAAAGCAAUGAGUAAAAGAAACAAACCUGGCCUCAGGAAUAGAGGUCCAGCUCCAAUAAGUAGGUGUAUUACCCCAGACAAUCAGAAGAUCCCUCGCGGAUAUCAUGUAACAUUUCUUCCCACUCUGCUUGUCCAACGAAAAGCUCUGCUGAAUGUCACAAUUAGAUAUGCACCGUUGCUUAUAUUAACAAGGUAAGGAAAGAAGAAGACAAAACCGCAUGAAAAUGACGGUAAAAUUUUCCCAAAAAAGCACUUCAACUUCAAAAGUGUUUAGAUGAGUUUUGGACAGAUCACUUUUGAAUUAAAAAUAUUUGUGGAAGUGCAAAAGCACAUUUUAUAAGAGCAAUUAUCAGUUAUCAAAUGUUUCUCAAGAAAAAGGCAAAUCAAGUUCCCUUUCACACUACCAACUGCUUUUUCACUCCCAAAAGAUAUUAUUGUUGAUUUCAACAUGUUAUUAAAUUUUUCUCCACAAGAUAAAACACCAUCUAGAGACACAUAACAAGUGCUUUCUCUAAAAGCGCUUUUUUUAUUCCCCCGCGGGCCCAAGACAACUGAUUUCAUUUAAUUAAAAGACAUGCUUUUGGUGGUGUCACAAGCACUUGCAACAAAGAACAUGCAGCACCAAAACAGACAUCAAGCUCCCCGAAUGAAUUCUAACAAAUACAGUAAAAUUCUACCGAAACAAGUCAACAAAUGCUAGAAGAUCUUUACCAAAACUAGAUAAUUAGAAGUGUAUUUUGAGGUGUUUUAAAAGAAAUCAGUUUCAAAUAAAAAGCAUCUUCAACAAAAAAACUGAAAAUUUUAAUGGAUUCAGUCAUUCGGAUUAAUGAUUAAAAAAAACCGUACAUUAAAACCAAAUCAAAAUCAAUUAUGGGUUAUGAACAAAGAAGAAAAUAAAAGGAAUUAAGUGAUUAUAACGUAUGCAAAUGUUCCUACCUUUUUGCCCUCGUCGAUGAGGAUAGGGUUAUGACAGAGGCUAAAAUAGAGCUCCUUCUUAGAGGAGGAACGCAGCGAAGAAGAAGAAGAAGAAGAAGAAGACGAAAGAAGAGUAGAGUAAUCGGGCGGCAAAAAGCUCUCCCAAACGGCGUCGGAUUCGGCCGCCGACUUGAAGAUAGUUGAAACUGAAGACAAUCUGCAUGCGUCGCGAGGAGUAGUAAAGGAAAUAGCGUUGGCAAUGCAACCUUCGGGUAAAAGCUCCAUUUCUGCUUCCGUGGAAAUUAGAAAAGGUAAAUGGAGAGACAGACGCUCAGAUGAAUCUCGUCGUUUCGAUUCUUGUGGUUUUUGAUUUGGCCAUUUU